Molecule: long non-coding RNA, 64879 nt
Filed under: Erythranthe guttata (spotted monkey flower)
Lineage: Eukaryota; Viridiplantae; Streptophyta; Magnoliopsida; Lamiales; Phrymaceae
Description: long non-coding RNA (EGUT_LNC001027)
Source: RNAcentral
AAUGCAAAUCUUCCCUUUGAAUCUUAACACCCCUUGACCUAUAGUAUAAUUAGGGAAAGCAUCAGAGUCUAUCAAUUUGGUUGCAUGUAUGUUAGACAUAUGUGUAUAUAUCUCCCUCAUAGUUGUGCACUACUUCAAUCGUUCACCUUGGUUGUACAGUAGUAAUAACUUGGCAGUCCCCUUCCACAUGAUCUCUUCUAGAAAGAUCAUCAUCUAACUUAUUCUCAUAUCCCCUUCUUAUAUUGGAUGUCAUAGUCCAAUCCAAUAAGUUUAGAAAUCCUCCUUUGUUGCAGAGCAGAUAUGAACUUCUGCUCCAUAAUAUAUUUGAUACUCUGUUGAUGAGUUUUAAUGGUAAAGUGAUGCCCUUGUAAGUAGUAUUUCCACUCAGUGACUGUCAUCAAAACAGCCAUCAACUCCCUCUCAUAAAUGGAGAGAGCUUGAUUAUUUGGGCUCAGUGCCUUGCUCAUAAAGGCAAUUGAUUGAGAACCUUGCAUUAAUAUUGCACCCAAACCAGUAGAAUUAACAUCAGUCUCUACUACAAAUGGUUUUGAGAAAUCAGGUAAUGCCGAAGCUGGAGAAGUCACCAUAGCCUCCUUAAGCUGAAUGAAGGCCUUUUCUGCCUGUUCAGUCCAAAUAAAUCCUUCCUUCUUAAGCAUGUCAGUGAGUGGUUUGCAGUUCACCCAAUAACCUUGCACAAGAUUCCUAUAAUAACCAGUUAAUCCUAAGAAUCCCCUUAAUCCCUUCAGAGUAUUAGGUUUUAUCCAAUCAAACAUUCCUUGAAUCUUCUCAGGAUCAGUAGAGGCACCCUCUUUACUAAUAAUAUGGCCCAAGUACUCCACAGUAGUUUAGGCAAACUGACACUUAGAUUUCUUGGCAACGAGCUUGUGUUGCCUCAGUAUGGCCAGAGUGAUAUUCAAGUGCAGUAGAUGUUCUUCCCAACUCUUGUUGAUAUGAGGAUGUCAUCAAAAAUGAGAAGAAUAAACUACCCCAGGUGUUUAGAAAAUACCUGGUUCAUCAAAGAUUGGAAAGUUGCAGUUGCAUUGCAAAGCCCAAAAGGCAUAACUAGGAAUUCAAAAUGUCCAUUAUGGGUUUUGAAUGCAUUUUUGUAUAUGUCUUCAUCCUUCAUCCUGUUCUGAAAGUAACCAGACCAGAGAUCCAUUUUGGUAAACCACUAAGCUCCAUGCAACUCAUCUAGGAGCUCAUCUAUGACUGGUAUAGGGUAGUCAUACUUCAAAGUUAAUCUGUUUAGAUACCUAUAAUCUACACACAUCCUCCAAGACGAAUCCUUCUUCCAUACCAAUAGUACAUGUGAAGCAAAUGGGCUUUGAUUGUCUUUGAUUAUACCAGAGUCGAAAAGUUCAUUCACAAUUUGCUCCAUUUCCCCUUAGUAAGCAUGUGAAUACCUAUAAGGAAACAGUUGUUUAGGAAUUGCAUCCUUUUUCAUAAGGGUUUCUUUGAGAAAAACCUCCAAUUACUUCAUUUAAUGGAGAGAGGCCCAAAAUAUUUUGCUCCAUUUGAGAAAAGCCCACACGCAUUUUCAGCCAUUAUUUUUUUCCAAUUUUUCCCCCGCCCGCCACAUCAUCAUUGCGUCGCGCUGUCAUCAGCCGUUUUUUUUCCUUUUUUUUUUUUAACUUUUUUUUUGUAUAAGUUUUAUUAGUCAACUAUGAAGCGUAGUAGAUUAAGGAAAAUCAACUAUGAAACAUAGUCGAUUAAGGAAAUUCUUUAAUUUUGUUUUUAUUUUUAAUUUUUUUUUCAAUCAGCUAUAUUAAUCUUCUAUGAAGCAUAGUCGAUUAAGAAUCUGACUACUAAAAAUAAUAAAUCACAACUACAAAAAUGAAAAAUCACCUAUAUUUUACAAAAGCAAAAAAUAUACAAACAUUAUAAUUGAUUUAUACAAUUGGAAUCAAUAAACAAAAAAUCCAAAAAAAAUUAAACAUUGAAGUCGAUUAACCUUAAUCGACUACAAGAGCAUAGUCGAUUAACCUUAAUCGACUAUUGAACAUGUACGUAAUCGAUUAAGACUCCAGCCUGCGUGAACUUCUCUAUCCGCGACGUCCUCCACCCGACCCACAAAAUAAAAUAUUAGAUCUGCCUCCCCAGCCCGUCGCAACACCACACCAUCCCAUCAUCCUUGCAACUUCAUCCCAUUCCAUCCCAUAUCUUGCCACUUCAUCCCACCCACAAUCCUUAAACCUAAACAAAUCAUUUUUCCCUCACCAACUAGAUUUAGAUUGAAACCAAAAACAUAAUAUAGAUCUAGAUUGAAACCAAAUAGAUCUGAGAAACAAAUUUAGAGCUACUCAAAAGAUAUGGUUUUUCAGCGUCGAUGAUUUGAGACAUGGUCUUCACUCUCCGCCGCCACAGCCAUCGUCUCUGCCGCUGCCAUGGUCUUCACGUCUCCGUUGCCGAUGACUUGAGACAUGGUCCUCACCCGUUGUUGGUGUUUCUGUGAGUGAAGAGAAUGGAAGAGAGAAUGGAAGAGAGAAUAGAAGAGAGAAUGGAAAACGAUGAAAAUUAGGGUUGGGGUAUGUAUGGUCUUUAUAAGGAUAGUUUGGGGAUUAUUAAAAAUUAAUUUUGUUUGAAAUAUACCUAAGGGGGUUUUCUCUAAUUAUUUUUGGAAGGAGGUGUUUCCUCAACUAUAUUUCCUAGAUGAAGGGGUUCUUGCUAAUUUCCCCUUUUCAAAAUGAUGUGAUGCUCAAUACCUCCCGCAGGUUGUAAGCAAGUUGGUUCUUAGAAUAGAUCACUAUGGAUCUCUUCAAUCUUGUCAUGUGGUUUGGGCAUAACAUUACCUCCAGACAAAGAGAAAACAUGAUAAAUAUCUCAUUGUUUCCCCGUUUGAAUCAUUUUAUACAAAGAUUCUGAUACAAACCUCGUCAAUCAUGUGAGGAGACCCGAUAUCAAUACUUCGGAUAUCAAAAUCCUGGACCGUCCUAAAGAAGGAAUCAAAGGGUGUAUGUGAAGACGCCACAAUCAAUUGCGAAAGUUUGAUUGAUAAGUCGGGGUGAACAAACGGAAUCCACCGAUAUGUUCGAACAGUUCUUAAAGAACCUAAGAGAAUAAACUCAAUUUAAUCAUAAAAAUUCGUCCCCCCUAAUAUGCCAAAUUGGCAGCCUAUAUAUAAGUGCUAAAAAGACUCAUUUUCCACAAGGAAAAGGAUUCCUACCUAAACUAUAAUAAAAAAAAUUAAUAAAUAAACAAAUCCUAACCAUAAGGAACUCUAAAAUAAUAAAAACCUAAUAAAUACUAAAUUAAAAACGUGCAUAAAUAAAUUAGAUAACUUGAUCUUCAAGUCGGCUUCUCGAUCACCCUUCUAAUCUCGCGUAGACAAUUGGUUGUGCACGUGCAUGAACUUCAUGCUCAAUUAUGGCACCGUUACAAUUCGAAUGUCUCUCCGCUCAAAACAUGAAAGUUGUAGAACUUCCAGUUGGCUUUUCAUUGAAAUUUGAAUGACCUAAAUUGGAUGCCAUAUGUGAGAGUUAUAAGCCGAAUGGUAAACUCUGCCAGAAUCAUACGAGACUUUCGGGAUGCUUGAAAUUCGACUUGUCCAACGAAUUUCCGUUUUCUUUUCUUCCAAUUCCAAACCAUGGAAUCUUCGAAGACCUGAUACAAGAAUUUAUUCUUCAAUUCCAGCCCGAAUAAACUCUUUAAACUUGUACGCUUUCGCUUCUUCCAAUUCUUCAACUUGGAGCUUGUGAGGAUCGCAUCAUACUCCCCCUCUUUAAAAUGAUUCGCCCUUGAUUCUGGAAAAAUAUAAAAAUGAGCAUAUAGAAACCAUCUUUCACGAUCAUCUUCAAACAAUUGUAGCUCAUAUAUUCUAGAAUACUCCAAAUUUGAUUACACUCAACUUUCCCACAGGAGUAUAGCUAGUCACAUUAGUACAACUAACUCCAUCAAUAAUUAAACUCGAAUAUGCACCUUCAUCGCACUGUGUAGGAACAAGACAAUCUCCGUGUAUUGCAUCACCAACUUCAUCAGCAUGCACAAUUGGAGUUUGUACUCCGGUUAGUUCAGCAGUAACUUCGAUGCAUGGCUGGAUCAUAUCAUUCUCCACCUCUUUAAAAGGAUUCGCCCUCGAAUUCGAACCUUUUUUUUCUUCAAUUGGUGGCGCGGGUUUGCAAUUUUCUUUCCCCUUGGACUCGACCUCAAUAUUCUCACAUACUUCUUCCUCAACUAGCACAUCAAUAACUCCCAAAUCUGUUUGAAUGAUCUCUUUCUCAAAAGCUUGACGAGUAUCUUCCUUUUCAAGUGGCGAUAAAGAAUCACCCUUUCUCUUCAGAUCCUCGUAGUCACCUUUGUCUCGUAGAAUUUCUUCUGCUUUGGUCUUAUGUAACGAUUCUCUCACUCUGCUCACAGGAGAACUCCAUAUUGAUUCCCAACUUGGCGAACUCCAUUCUUCUAUCGUAGUAGCUUGCCUCAACCUCUGAAAUUGUAAGUCCCUAUAAUAUUGUGAAGGAACGAACCUCUAUCUCAUAACAGCCUUCAUUGACUCCCAAUCAUCAAUUGGUGGUUCGCAACAACGGUGCCUAGUUAAGACAAAUUGGUCCCACCAACUAAUUGCAUACUCAAUGAACGCUUCAACGGCGAGCUUCACUUUCUUCUUUUCGGAAUAGUAAUCACAAUCGGAUACGUUCUCAACCUUUCUUUCCCAUUGAAUGUAUGCCUCGGGAUCACUCUUACCUUGAAAAGAUGGUAUAGUCAAUUUCAUUGAGCUAAGGUUUCGAGUUGCGCCAUCUAUUUCUCGAUCAAACUAUCCUCGACUCGAUCUAUCCCAUCCAGACCCUCGUCUCAUACUCUCCCUCCUUGAUGUGCAAGGGAUCACACCAAAUCUUCUAUCAACAUAAACCUCUUUAUCACGGUGAGGUAUAACCGGUUGAUGAACAUCACGUCAUACGUAUGGCCCUCGAACAUGUUGAUCUUUGUGUGGUUCAUAUAUUUGGGCUUCAAGUCCUUCCAGUCGAUCGUGGAUUCCCUCAAGUGCUUUAAAUAAGGGUUCGAAGCGUUUCUCCAUUGCCGACAUCCGACGCUACUCAACUCUUUCUCCUUUAUGACCGGCCUUCUCGGACAUGAUCAAAACAAUAUUUUUUUUUUGACACUAAUAAACCCUAACUUGGGCAGGAAGGAAAUCUUAACAAAAAUAAAAUUCGAAAUUUUUUUUUAAUUAAUUUUUUUUAUUGGUUUAUGGACUUUAAAUAAAAAAAUCAGAAGACUAGAAGACUCAACAACAAUAGACACUAAACAAAAAGAAAAACGAAAAAACGAAAAAACGAAAAAAAGACUGACUCGACAAAAGAUAAAGGAUAGGCGAAACCUUCUUAAGAAGAUGGCUCUCAGUACCAAAUGAUACCAACCUCGCCAACCAUGUGACGAGACCCGAUAUCAAUAUUUUGGAUAUCAAAAUCUCGGACCGUCCUAAAGAAGGAAUCAAAGGGUGUAUGCGAAGACGCCACAAUCGAUUGCGAAAGUUUGAUUGAUAAGUCGGGGUGAACAAACGAAAUCCACCGAUAUGUUCGAACAGUUCUUAAAGAACCUAAGAGAAUAAACUCAAUUUAAUCAUAAAAAUUCGUCCCCCCUAAUAUGCCAAAUUGGCAGCCUAUAUAUAAGUGCUAAAAAUACUCAUUUUCCACAAGGAAAAGGAUUCCUACCUAAACUAUAAUAAAAAAGCUAAUAAAUAAACAAAUCCUAACCAUAAGGAACUCUAAAAUAAUAGAAACCUAAUAAAUACUAAAUUAAAAACGUGCAUAAAUAAAUUAGAUAGCUUGAUCUUCAAGUCGGCUUCUCGAUCACCCUUCUAAUCUCGCGUAGACAAUUGGUUGUGCACGUGCAUGAACUCCAUGCUCAAUUAUGACACCGUUACACUUUGAAUGUCUCUCCGCUCAAAACAUGAAAGUUGUAAAAUUCUAGUUGGCUUUCCUUAUAAAUUUGAAUCACCUAAAUUGGAUGUCAUAUGAGAGAGUUAUAAGCCGAAUGGUAAACUCUGCCAGAAUCAUACGGGACUUCCGGGAUGCUUGAAAUUCGACUUGUCCAACGAAUUUCCGUUUUCUUUUCUUUUAAUUCUAAACCAAGGACUCUUCAAAGAACUGAUCCAAGAAUUUAUUCUUCAAUUCCAGCCCGAAUAAACUCUUUAAACUUGUACGCUUUCGCUUCUUCCAAUUCUUCAACUUGGAGCUUGUGAGGAUCGCAUCAUAGAUUCUGCAGUAAUGAGUUGCCAAUCCACCUUCUGCCUAACAUCAGUGAUCAUGACUCUCCCUUGUAAAGUUUGAACCUCAAUGCACCUAGAUUUGUAGUAAACAUCCAGAGGACUGCAACUAUUUAGCCAAUCACAUCCCAAUAUGAUAUGAUACCCCUCUAAUUGCAGCAAUCUGUGAGGAAAAGUGAAUGUUUUAUCUUGCGUUUGCCAGCUGAAAUCAAGAACCCCUUAUUCAGUAAUAAGUUUUUUUCCAUUUGCUAUAGUUAACUUCAUUAUAAUGGCCUUCUGGAUGCAACAUAAGUCCCUAGCUAACUCAAUAGCAAUAAAACUAUGUAUGAUGCCAUUAUCUAUUAACAUGUUCAACUUAGUACCUCCAUAACUACCAGAGACUCUGAUAGUGUUCAUUCCAGAGCUUCCCAUUAGAGCAUUGACAGAAACUUGGACCUCAUAUGCAAAUUUCCCUGUUUCAUCAACCUUUGGUGUGGAAAUGGAUUGGUAGUGGCUAAGCUCUUCAUCUUCAGUCAUCAACAGAUAAAUAUGGCUAUGUUUGUAUUUGUGGUUGGGUGCGUAAGCCUCAUCACAGUUGUAAUAGAGGCCUUCUACCUUCUGGCUCUCAUCUCAGGUAUGGUAAGUGUUUUUCUCUGUGGUAAUAAGGCUGGGGGUGUGUAUGGUGUGGUUUUUUGUAGAAAGGGUAUGGGAGGAGGGGCAGGGUUUUGCCAAGGCUUUUUGGUAGGUAUGGUAUUUGGUAUAGGUGGUUUAUAUGAGGGGUUGGCUCUUUUGGUAAGGCUUAAAUAGUGUGGACUUUUUUUCUGGCCAUAUCAAUGAGCUGGGGUAGGUUGUGGAUUGGAAAUAGGGAAAAUAAACUCUGAAUUUCUCCUGGUAAGCCAUUUAUGAAUCCAUGGAUGAAGCAACUCUCAUCAUAGGUUCUAGUGUUAAGUGCCAACGAGUAACACCUGAGUUCUUCAAACUUUUCAAUGUAUUCCUCCAAUGUUCUUGUCACCUUUAAUGAAUGGAACUCAUCCAAAACAUUACCCUCAUGUAGCUUCAAACCUUGAGGUCACCAAACUCACAAAUUGUCUUCAAUUCAGAUCUAUGUUCCCUAGAGUAACAUGGUUGUACCAGAAGCUGCCUUACCUUCAACAUGUAAGGAAGCCAUGACAACCCUCUGUUUCUCAGGUAUGUCUGGGAUUAAUUCAAAAUAGAUGUCACACCUUAGUAACCAGCUUCUAGGGUUUGUACCAUCAAACCUAGGAAAAUAAAUUUUGGGACUCGGAUUGAAACCUACUGAAAAUUGUUCCUAGUUAAUUCCCAUUUCAAAAGGUCUCUGCACCAUAACCUCGGGGUUUGUGUCUAACUACAGUUUCAUGAGUGGCAUUUAGAGGAAAGUUUGUGUUGUUUGAGGAGGAAGUAGCACUCCCCAUAUAGAUUUGUCCUUGUUGUAGAAUUCCAUCUUCACUACAACUUUGGCAAACUGCAACUGAAGCCUUUCUUGGAUGCCUGGAUCUGCUGCAUGGCUCCAUGGGAUUUUUGCAUCUGUGUUUGGCCAUCAGCUAGAGAUUGAGGAAGCAUGUUGAGUUCGUCUUGAAAGGAGAUCUCCAUCGCCUCUCUUCUUUCAGCUUUUUCCUGCAAUUUUUGUUCCAUAUGUUUUGCUCUGGUUUCAGUCAUAUUAGUCCCAGUUUGAUAAAUGUAACCUUGCUUUGGAUACCAAAUAUCAGAUCUUACUUUGUUUCUAUAUAUUAUUGUAUGAAUAAUGAAGAACAUAUAAGAAUAGAGUAAGAAUUGGAGAGAAAGAUAGAGUUGAGAGAGAAUUAGAAUAAAUUUCUGCUUAUUUCAUUCAUCUGCAAAACUCAUUACAUAUAGCGAAAGCUGCCAAAAGUGCAGUGCUAGAGGUAGUACAAUUAGCCUAACAAACCAAAUAGAAAAAUCACAAGUGUAAUAUUCCUCCAAAUAAAAUCUUCAUGUGAAUCAUCAAUCUUCACGCGCUCGUCACAACAUCUCCCUCUCGCCGUCCUUCACUGGGUUUGUUGCCACGUGCCAUAGUAAUUGAAACGUUGUCGUUUCUAACUAUUUCAAAAUCGAAUUCUCAAUUCUUUCAAAUCCACAAAUCAUCAGCAAUUCAUCCCUUCGCGCCCUAUGUGUUCGAAUUCCCUUCCUUCCCUAGGCCAUGACACAUGACUUUGGAUUUUUCUUUUUCUUGGAAUAAUUUUGUAAGAAAUUUUGAGUUGAGAGGGAGUUCGUUGUUGUUAGCAGUUGAGAAGAUGAUACGUGGGUGCAGAUCUGUAUUGUGGCGUGGCUGCUUGGUUGCCGAAUAGGGGUUUCGGUCCAUGAACGGAGCCGGCCAAGAUAGUGUUGGGGUGAGGUGCGCAGAGAAAUUAAAAUCAAAGUAUGUGUCUAUGUGUUCUUUUUCAAUUGGAGAAGAGGGCUUAAUUGAAAAUAUUAAGGACUGAAUUGAAAAUUUUAAAACUUAAUUUGGGUAUAAAAUUUUGGAGGUUGGACAUAUUUAUCUGGGACUUUUUCGUCUUUCCUUGAGAGGUCAAUGAAUAAAAAUAAAAAGGGUCGAGUGUACUUGUUUGAACAAUUUCCAGGGUGGGCUUUUGUCACUUUUUUUUAAUCCUGGGGGGUUGUGGCUUUAGGAUUAACAAAGGGUGGUUUUUGCAUUUAACUUCAAAUCGCAUUGUAUUAAGCAAAAUUAGAACAAAUUAUGUGAAGAUAAGCUUUAACAUUUGAUCCAAAGGUGUAGCAUAUGAAAUUCAAUUAAAUUUACAGAGAAAAUGACGUGACAAGAAAAAUGCGGUUUGAAAACUACAUUACACCAAAUUCAACCAAUCCUGUUGCAAUGCACUCGAAUCAAUCACAUGAAUCUUGUGCACAAAAAAUGAUUUAGAAAUGAACAACAUCGCAGAAGAAUCAACCAACUUAGAUGUAAAUAACUUGCACAUUUCAUUCACAGAGUCCAAUAAGUGAUCCACACUACUAAAACAACAUUCCAACAUGAAGAUAAAAUUUAUACCUUAAUAAAAAAUACUUUCGAUAUCUUAUAUUGUGUUAUAUAUUAAUUAUGAAUACUUUAUCUUGUAUUAAGUUUCAAAGACGAAAAUUUUCCGUGAUUGCUUCAUUUGUCAUGAGGAUCAGCAAAAGUUAAUGCCAAAUUCUCUCAUAUAUCAGACCUGAUUGCAGUCAUGGUCAAUUUUACGUAGCACUGUCAAACUGUAAGAGUAGAGGUGGCAUUGAGAUGUUGAUUGGUGGGAAUCGGAUGAACUAUAUAACGUUACUACAAUUUUUGUCUACAAAUUAAAAAUUAUUCCAACCUAUAUGAAGAUACAUACUACACAAUAACUAAUGACAUACUAUUAUUGGAAUGUACAUGUAUUUUAUUAUUUAGAAUCUUUUUCCAUUCUUUGCAUAAUGUACAUGUUAUCGACAAAUUAGAGGACUCAAUGGACCAAUACCUAUAGUUCUUGCAGACACUUCAUUUGUAUGUAAGGACAUCUCCUGCAGUCUUGUUCUUCUUUUUCCUUUCAGGGCAUUUUUUUUCUGAAGUGUCCUUUGUGGCAGGUAUAACACUUCCAUGGACCAUUCUCAGAUUGAUUUUUCUUUUGCUUUUCAAACUUUGGCUUGACUUUCCCUCUAUUUAUCUUCUCAGAAUUCGUGUCUUGUCUUCCUCUGGCAAACAAGGCCUUCAGUACUAGAGUUGCAUAUUGUUUCUAAUUUCUUAUGAAGCCCUUUUGCUUUUACAACAGAAACCACCUUCUCCAAGAUAUUGUCUGCUCCUUCCAUAAAUCAUGACAUCUUUAAAAAUUUCAUAACUCUUUCGAAUAGAGUUCAAAAUCGUUGGAGCCUUGUCUUCAUCUUCUAUGGUCACUUUUAUGUUUUCAAGAUCACCAACAAUUUUGUCGAACUCAUCAAUCUGUUGACUAACAAAUUUCUCAUCCACCAUCUUGAAAGAAUGAAGUCUUUGCUUCAGAUAACCUACUUGCCAAGAACUUUCUCAUAUACAACUGUUCAAGUUUCAGCCAUAUGGCUUGAGUUGAAGUUUGCCUCGAAACUUCUCUUAGUGCUUUAUCUCCAAAACUAAGAAUUAUUGAAUUGUGAGCCCUAUCCAUGAUUCCUUUUUCUUCAACCAUAAAAUGCAGACCAAAUUAAUACCAAACAUGAACUGGCCUUGUUACUAACAACAAAUAAUAAUUUCAAUCCCAAUCAAGAACCGCAAAGUGCAAACUGCAAUUCCAGAAGUAUAUCAAAUUCCAAAACAACUAGCAAUAAAUUAUAUACAAUACAGACCAUAAUAAUUUGCAGGCCAAAUUAAUAGAAACAAGAUGCUUCAACAAAAUACAGAGAGACCUAUAACAUCUAUACUCUUAAAAUGUCUGAAUAUUUACUUGAUAUCGAUGCUUCAACAUCAUCAAUUUUUCCACUUAGACAAAAAGGACCCAUAAAAAUGUUGGGGAUCGUGCAUGUAUACGCAGCGGAAUUUAAAAAUUUUAUAUCGAACUAGUUUCGAUUACAUGCAAUACUAAUCACAUAGUCAACGUACCUUAACGCUUCCGCCAUACAUAUGGUAAUUUUCGAUUUAAUUGAAAAAUACAUAAAACCGAAAAAUUACGAAACAUGCUUAUUCAUCAUUCAAUAAGAUCGAAACAUGUAAUCACGUAUUACUCAUGCUUGCAAAUUAAUAAUCAUACAAACAUGUUUGAAUCGAAUUACGAAAGUUCCGAUUUGAUUACCUCUUGUAGCGUGAGAUUUCGACGAAUCGAAAUCCUAGAACGAGUCACGUACAAGCUGCUAAUUACCAAUCCACGGGGCUGCACCUCACGGCUGGACCGAGCUGAUCCAGCAAGCAACGAGCGGCGACGAACGGCAGCAGCAGCGGCGGCGCGUGGCAGCGGCAGCGGCGGCGCGUGAGCGGCGGUGCGGCGCGUGCGGUGGUGCACGGAUUCGUCGGGGCAGCAGCUCCUCUCCAAUUAGGUUUCACCUCGUAUUUUCGACCCACUCGAACUAUAGCACUAGAUAUAAACGAGUUAGAUAACAACACGAAUAAAACGAAGGAGAAAGAGGAGAAAACCGGCAGUGUUUCCGGCGGUGGUCGGCGGUGGCGCGGCAGAGAUGCAACGGCCGAGAGGUGUUGAGCGGCUAGGGUUUUUGUGCUGAAAAAUCUGAUCUCAAAACUCCUUUUGAGGUCUAUUUAUACCUAGGGUUUUCAACCCUAGCGGGCUUAAGUCAUUGGGCUUGACCCACUGAUGCAUUAAGCCCAUCCCCUUGUCGGCCUCAUUUCCAACAAACGAUCGUCCACAAAAUUAUAACAAAAUUAUAUUUGUGACGAGCUCAAAGUCCUCGUCGAUACGAGUGCCUCUUCGAAAUUUCCAAUUUCCAAAAUUGGAAACUUCCACUUCAGUGGACUUGCUAAAUCGGGAAGCUUCCCAAUUUAGAAAGUUCACUAAAUUCCGCAUGUCUCUCUUUCUCUACGUUUAUUCCAAUUCGCAAUUCACAAUUGCGAAUCUUGGAUUCAAUCAUAUUGACAUCCAAUCGUUCAAAGAUUAACACAUUAAUCUAUGCUUGUUGUUAUCAAGGAUCUAUAUUACACGAGAAGUGUGACCCUCAAUGGUUCAGGUGUAUGCUAGCCGUGGGCUCACAACUCUUUGUGAUUCGAACAACACAUUGUUCUUAUACGAACUCCUCCCAAGAGUCCCGAUUAGAGUAAAACUCAUUUUACCUAAUCCCGAUCAAAUCGGUGCCCAACGAAUCAAGAUUGGCGUCUAGCAACUACGCGUCAUGAUUCCCUAGAUACAAAUGAAGUGCCUGCAAGAACCUUAUGAUAUAGUUAGCGUACAGUACGAUCCCUUCGUAGCACAUGUCCCGAUUGAACUAGAGGCAUUGGUUCACCGAGACCUCUUAUAAAGUUCAAUAACCGUGCGCACGUUCUAGGUAUUAUAAAUCCGUUCGUGUGCGACUUAGGGAAACACAUUUCCCUAAUCACCCCACUAUCAACUCUGGCCAGAGAUUCCAUGGAUUAUAAACCGUCAGAACACACAGGACAUCCAUGACUACUCAAGCGCUCGAAUCCCCUACUACAAUGCACAGACUUCACACUAGAUUUCGGAUUGCACGAACGUUGGCCCUUGGAGCGGUCCGCGGUGGGACUCAGGGACAGGUCACGAUACAAUCGGUCCUCUAGUGAAGUCACGGUGAUGUCUGGGUCUUAAGGACUAAUGGUGUACAACUAUAUCUUAGAAACCUAUUACUCGAUGAAUGAGAACCACUUAUAGAUUUCUAGGGCGAGGGAGUUCAGUGAACUCAUCCAGUAUGAGCACCCACUCAAGUAUGCCGAUGUCACAACACCGAGGACUGAUGAGACGCAGUACACAUACACUAAGUGCUAGUCUCAAAAGGGAAAGGCCGGUAUCCUCAUUAUUGGCGUAACCCAUCGACUAGGAACAAGGUUUAACAGUUACAUUACAUUGCUGAGUUAUCUCAUGAUUCUACUAGAUCAACUCACAGUAAUAGAGUAACUCGUUAGGACUAUAUCUAUGCUGCUUGCAUGGGAUAACAGAUAUAGAAUGCCAAAUAAGAUAUUUUAUUAUUACGAACGAAAAACGAUUGUUUUAUUACAAAGAAAAGAGAAAGACCACAGCCACAAGUUGGCUUGCCGGUCACCUACUCUAACAAUCUCCCACUUGACCUAAAGCCAACUACUCAUAAAUCUAAGUCCCAUCGACUCUCGAUGUUUCUCGUGGACUGAUCCUGACAAUGGCUUGGUGAAGGGAUCUGCAAUAUUGUCCUCCGAGGUGACUCUGUCUAGCUUGACUUCACCUCUCUCUAUGAUCUCUGGGAUCACAUGGUAUUUUNNNNNNNNNNNNNNNNNNNNNNNNNNNNNNNNNNNNNNNNNNNNNNNNNNNNNNNNNNNNNNNNNNNNNNNNNNNNNNNNNNNNNNNNNNNNNNNNNNNNGUUGAAAGUUCUAGGAUCACAUCCUUGGUCACCUUCAUCACGAGGAAUACCUAUCGGGCGCUCUCCGAACUCUUUCGGAUCUACGCAGCGACGGUCCAGGAGGUAUGUUAGUGGUUUGUUGAAUUUGUUCAUUAUCUGAUUGUUGUGCUUGAACUUCAGAUUGUGGUUCUCGAACUUCUUCGAGAUCAACUACACUGCCCUUUCUAUCCGAUAGAAAUUCCUUCUCAAGGAACACGGCAUUUCUCGAGACGAACACCUUUGCCUCGGAAACAUAGUAGAAUUCGUAUCCCAUGGAAUCCUCGGGAUACCCCACAAAAUAGCAUAGGUCGGAUUUUGUAUCCAACUUAUCUCCCACUAGCCGCUUCACGUAAGCGGGACAACCCCAUAUCCUAAUAUGUUUAAACGUGGGUUUCUUGGAGUGCCAAAGUUCAUAAGGUGUGGAGUUAACUGCUUUGGUAUUAACCCUAUUCAGCAAAUACACGGCAGUUAGGAGUGCAUGACCCCACAGGUAUGCCGGUAGCUCGGUGAACCCCAUCAUAGAUCGAACCAUGUCUAACAGUGUUCGAUUCCGACGUUCGGAAACUCCAUUAAGUUGAGGAGUUCCAGGAGGAGUCCAUUGAGAAAGAAUCCCAUUCUCUUUAAGAUAGUCUAUAAACUCAGUACUUAAGUAUUCGCCACCACGAUCGGAUCGUAGUUUCUUAAUACGUCUACCGAGUUGGUUUUCUACUUGGUGUCUAAAAUCUUUGAACCUUUCAAAAGUUUCAGACUUAUACUUCAUUAAGUACACGAAACCAUACCUAGAAUAAUCGUCGGUAAAGGUAACGAAGUAGUUAAAACCACCCCUAGCACUAACGCUUAGUGGACCACACACGUCUGAAUGGAUCAAAUCCAAAAGACCCUCGGCCCGUUCCAUCUUCCCUUUGAAGGGAGUCUUGGUCAUUUUUCCUUUAAGGCAGGAUACACAAGUUUGAAGUGAUUUAACGUCCUUCAAGGAGAACAUUCCUUCACUAACAAACUCGUUCAUCCUUCUCAAGGAAAUGUGACCUAGUCGAGCGUGCCAAAGUUGUGCGGGGUUAAGACUUAUAUCUUUUCGUUUUGCUGAUAUAAUGUUAAUAGGUAUUUCACUUGGAUUUAGUUCAUAUAAGUUGUUUAUAAGUUGUCCCUUACAAAUCAUAUUUUGUUCCUUUUGUAUAAUGCAAAUCGAAUUUCCAAAAACAAAAGUAAAACCUUCAUUAUCCAAAACAGGAAUAGAAAUAAGGUUUCGAAUAAGUGACGGAACAAAUAAACAAUUGUUCAAAACAAUGGAAAAACUAGAAUCCAAAACAGAAAGAUAAAUUGUCCCAAUGGCUUCAGCAGCAACUCUUGCUCCGUUGCCCAUUCUUAGGUAGGUCUCACCCACAUUAAGCUUCCUACUUCUUGUCAUGAGCUGCAAAUCAUUACAAAGAUGUGAGCCACAACCAGUAUCCAAUACCCAAGCAGAAGAUUUAACGGACAAGUUAACUUCAACUAAAUACGUACCCUUUUCAGAACGUUUCUGAUCGAGGUAAGCCUUGCAGUUGCGUCGCCAAUGGCCCUUCUUUCCACAAUGAUGGCAAGCGUCAUCAACUUGCUUGGUGACCUUGUCAUUCUUCACUCCGCUCGACUCGCCCUUCUCAAGUUUCUUGCUCGGGCCGAAACUCCUUUCUUUCCUUUUCUUCUGCAAAGAACCUUUCUUCGCAGAAGGAGCAACUAGGAGAACAGAUUUCUCCUUCUUGAUCGUGGACUCAUAGCUGACCAACAUGUUCAACAACUCAUCCAAUGGUGGAUCGAGCUUGUUCAUGUUGAAGUUCAAUAUGAACGAUUCAUAAGAACUAGGAAGGGACAGUAGGAUCAAAUCCACCGAGAGCUCGGCCGGGAGGGUGACAUCAAGGCUCACCAGCUUCUCAAGGAGAGUGAUCAUCUUGAGACCGUGCUCGUGGACCGAAGCCCCUUCACGCAGCCUCAUGGUGAUCAACUCCUUGGUAGCUGAGUACCUCGAUGCCCUAGUAUUCUCACUGUACAUGCUUUCAAGAUGAUGCUUGAUAUCAUAAGCAUGCACGUGAGACUCAUACUUCCUCGCGAGCUCUGGCACCAUGGAUGCUAGCAUGUAGCACCUCGCAUGGAGGUCGUCCUUCUUCCAUGCCUCGAAGUGGCAGUCUCGUCAGCAGUAGCAGUCGCAGGAAUAGCAGCGGGGGGACGUUCAUUGAGCACAUAGAGACGCUCCUCGACUUGGAGCACAAGUUUCAGAUUGCGAAGCCAAUCCAAAUAGUUUGGACCGGUGAGUUUGUUUUGGUCGAGGAUUGAGGAAAGGGGAUGUUUGGACAUUGUUGCUGAGAAAAUUUUAAGAAGACAAUAAUUAGAGUUUAGUUCGUAAUAAUCGUUACAAUUAAAAUUUUGGACUUGUAUGUUUUAAUUGUUCUCCCACUAAUUUUAUCGAAUUCCACCACCCUCUAGCAGACAAUCGAGAAAACUUGUUUUUCUUUAAUGGGCUUUAGGUCCAAUAGCGCAAAUGUAACCCGUAGUUAAUCUAUCCCGAUUACAUAAGCCUAAAGGUAGAGUACUAUCAAUCACAUCACUAUGUGACCCUAAAGAUCGAUUUACCUCACACUUGAUAAUGACCUAAGUUAAUCUAGCGAAUAUCAAAAUCUUCGUGUGUCAAGUCUAGCCUACCAAUAUGAGAUGUCAUAGAUCCAACUAUAUCAAACUAAUGCAAUCCCUAGUUAAUCUAGCCGACCACAUUAAUCCAACAUAAUUUUAUCUAUGACCGUAUCUCCAUCUAAUGUCAAUUAAAUUACAGCUUAUCCCACAAUAGCACUCCCCGCUAACACGGCUUACUGCACUAUCAUGAGAGGCUACACAUAACUUAAUUGUUGGUAGAAGGAAAGAAAAAUUCAACAAUUUGGUUCUUCUUUAUAGCUUGAUAAUUAUUCUUAAUAAAGAAUGAGGGAUUUUAUUUAUUAAAUCUUAUUAGCUCAUCGGAAGUUUUAGGUUAUGAUCGUUUGUGAUUCCUACAACUAUGUUCUCUAGGUAUGUGGAAACGCAUAUUGAUCCUAAGAGAGACAUACGAUCAUCAUCGUACUUAAUCACAAUUAUUCAUCUCAUGAAUUAAUUAAUAAAUACGAUUAAUUGCAAAUAUUAUUAACGGACUUCUUUCAUUCAUAAAUCAUUCAAAUAAGAAUGAAGUCCAUUAAUUUAUUUGCCAUCUAAUUUGUGUUCCAUUAAUUAAACUAAUUUAACGAUUAAAUUAAAUAAUUAAUCCAACACUAUCCUUUGAAUUCAAAUUAAAUUAAUGGAUCAAUUAUCUAAUUGGGUUUAAUUGAUAAAUAAUUUCAAAAAUUAAAAAUCAAUUAAUUUUAAUAUUAAUUCUCAGAAAAUCAAAUAAUUUUUUUUUUUUUUUUUUUUUUUUUUGCGCUGACCGGACCGGUCGGACCGGUCCGACCGGACCGGUUCGGUCAGCUGGAAAAACAGCAGAAAAACGAAUUUUAAAAAUUUUAUAUUUUCUGAAAUAUUCAAAAUAUUAAUUAAUAUUAAACCACCCAAUUUGAUAACACCAAAAAUUCAACAAUUCAACAAAUCGAAGCAUGCUUUCGAAAACGAUAAACACGUUGACAAAUAAACGAUUAACCCGUGGCUCUGAUACCACUGUUGGGGAUCGUGCAUGUAUACGCAGCGGAAUUUAAAAAUUUUAUAUCGAACUAGUUUCGAUUACAUGCAAUACUAAUCACAUAGUCAACGUACCUUAACGCUUCCGCCAUACAUAUGGUAAUUUUCGAUUUAAUUAAAAAUACAUAAAACCGAAAAUCACGAAACAUGCUUAUUCAUCAUUCAAUAAGAUCGAAACAUGUAAUCACGUAUUACUCAUGCUUGCAAAUUAAUAAUCAUACAAACAUGUUCGAAUCGAAUUACGAAAGUUCCGAUUUGAUUACCUCUUGUAGCGUGAGAUUUCGACGAAUCGAAAUCCUAGAACGAGUCACGUACAAGCUGCUAAUUACCAAUCCACGGGGCUGCACCUCACGGCUGGACCGAGCUGAUCCAGCAAGCAACGAGCGGCGACGAACGGCAGCAGCAGCGGCGGCGCGUGGCAGCGGCAGCGGCGGCGCGUGAGCGGCGGUGCGGCGCGUGCGGUGGUGCACGGAUUCGUCGGGGCAGCAGCUCCUCUCCAAUUAGGUUUCACCUCGUAUUUUCGACCCACUCGAACUAUAGCACUAGAUAUAAACGAGUUAGAUAACAACACGAAUAAAACGAAGGAGAAAGAGGAGAAAACCGGCGGUGUUUCCGGCGGUGGUCGGCGGUGGCGCGGCGGAGAUGCAACGGCCGAGAGGGGUUGAGCGGCUAGGGUUUUUGUGCUGAAAAAUCUGAUCUCAAAACUCCUUUUGAGGUCUAUUUAUACCUAGGGUUUUCAACCCUAGCGGGCUUAAGUCAUUGGGCUUGACCACUGAUGCAUUAAGCCCAUUCCCUCGUCGGCCUCGUUUCUAAUAAACGAUCGUCCACAAAAUUAUAACAAAAUUAUAUUUGUGACGAGCUCAAAGUCCUCGUCGAUACGAGUGCCUCUUCGAAAUUUCCAAUUUCCAAAAUUGGAAACUUCCACUUCAGUGGACCUGCUAAAUCGGGAAACUUCCCAAUUUAGAAAGUUCACUAAAUUCCGCAUGUCUCUCUUUCUCUACGUUUAUUCCAAUUCGCAAUUCACAAUUGCGAAUCUUGGAUUCAAUCAUAUUGACAUCCAAUCGUUCAAAGAUUAACACAUUAAUCUAUGCUUGUUGUUAUCAAGGAUCUAUUGUACACGAGAAGUGUGACCCUCAAUGGUUCAGGUGUAUGCUAGCCGUGGGCUCACAACUCUUUGUGAUUCGAACAACACAUUGUUCUUAUACGAACUCCUCCCAAGAGUCCCGAUUAGAGUAAAACUCAUUUUACCUAAUCCCCGAUCAAAUCGGUGCCCAACGAAUCAAGAUUGGCGUCUAGCAACUACGCAUCAUGAUUCCCUAGAUACAAAUGAAGUGCCUGCAAGAACCUUAUGAUAUAGUUAGCGUACAGUACGAUCCCUUCGUAGCACAUGUCCCGAUUGAACUAGAGGCAUUGGUUCACCGAGACCUCUUAUAAAGUUCAAUAACCGUGCGCACGUUCUAGGUAUUAUAAAUCCGUUCGUGUGCGACUUAGGGAAACACAUUUCCCUAAUCACCCCACUAUCAACUCUGGCCAGAGAUUCCAUGGAUUAUAAACCGUCAGAACACACAGGACAUCCAUGACUACUCAAGCGCUCGAAUCCCCUACUACAAUGCACAGACUUCACACUAGAUUUCGGAUUGCACGAACGUUGGCCCUUGGAGCGGUCCGCGGUGGGACUCAGGGACAGGUCACGAUACAAUCGGUCCUCUAGUGAAGUCACGGUGAUGUCUGGGUCUUAAGGACUAAUGGUGUACAACUAUAUCUUAGAAACCUAUUACUCGAUGAAUGAGAACCACUUAUAGAUUUCUAGGGCGAGGGAGUUCAGUGAACUCAUCCAGUAUGAGCACCCACUCAAGUAUGCCGAUGUCACAACACCGAGGACUGAUGAGACGCAGUACACAUACACUAAGUGCUAGUCUCAAAAGGGAAAGGCCGGUAUCCUCAUUAUUGGCGUAACCCAUCGACUAGGAACAAGGUUUAACAGUUACAUUACAUUGCUGAGUUAUCUCACGAUUCUACUAGAUCAACUCACAGUAAUAGAGUAACUCGUUAGGACUAUAUCUAUGCUGCUUGCAUGGGAUAACAGAUAUAGAAUGCCAAAUAAGAUAUUUUAUUAUUACGAACGAAAAACGAUUGUUUUAUUACAAAGAAAAGAGAAAGACCACAGCCACAAGUUGGCUUGCCGGUCACCUACUCUAACAAAAAAUUGGUGAUUAACUCAUUAUCAAAGCUUCUAAAAGCAUAUUCAAUAAAAGCAAAAAAAUUACUUACCAAGAUUGGUACGCUUUUUGCACAAUCGUUUUGGCUAUUGAGGUUCUCCAGUGUUGCGGUUAUGAGGCAAUGCAUAAAUUAAAUUAUAUGAGUAUGUGUAAAUUACUUAAGGUAAUGCACAAUAUAAAAAAAAAUUGCAUUACUUAUAAAAUAUUGAGAACAAAAUAAUAUUUAGUAUUAUAUAUUAAAAUAAUACUAAUUCAAAUAUAAACUAUUGAACUAAACUAAAGAAACCAAUUUUAAAAAAGUUAUGCUGGCGCCAGAUUUUUGUUAGUGAAGAUUGAUGAAAUUCGCCAUACUUUGAAAUGAAAAGAUUGGCAAAGAUUUUUUUCCAUGUUUAUUUUGGAAUUAAUUAGAUACCUAUUCUCGUAAUAUUUUUAUUAGGACUUAGAUUUAUUUCCAUGUAUUAUAUUCUACUGAGGUAUCUUUUGUACUUAUCUAGAAUAGAAGUAGAAAUCGACUAAGACUCUAUUACUUAGUUGAAUCAAUUUCUUAGGGCACAAGUUAGGUUUAGGGUGGUGAAUUUCGUGCCUAUAUAAAGCCAUCAACCUCAUAUGAGUCCCAUGAACCUUUAAUCGAAAAAUCCCAGCAUAAAGGCUUUAAAAGGUGCAGCCGGUGUUGCAGCCCUGUCUACACGUCAGGUGUGGCAACAUAACGGGUUUCUUCUAUCAGACCAUAAAGAAGAUCGGCGUUUCGGGAGAAGUUCUUAAAAGAUCUAGGGAGAGGUCGAUCCGCCGUCUGAAGGGAGUUCAACAUUGGAGGAAGUCCAAGAGUGCGGAUGGAGGAAUUGCUUUGAUUAUCAACAAGUUCGAGUCGUGUGCAAGAACGGCGUAUAACAUAAAGAGGGAGUCUUUAGUGUUUUUAUUAAGUCCAAUAUUGUACACUUAAAUCUGAACUAGUUUGCAAGUCCUCGUGGAUCUAGGGUACAUUUGUAUCCGAACCACAUUAAAUUCUUGUGGUCUUUUAUUCUACUUUUAGUUGAUUAAUUCUGUAUACUUAGUAUCUGAUUUUAGGUUUUGAUUUAUUUUAUUUGCUUAUUGGAUGACGUAUGUUCACAAGGAAGGUUGAGACGGAAGUCUGGCAUGACAUUCACCCAAUUCUGUUGCGUUGUAACAUGCCCGUGAUGGGACACUCUGAUAGAAGACCAAAAAUGGGUGAAGAAAAAUGACGUCUAUGUUGUAGGGGGAGUCAUAUUGACAACAUGGAAUUGUAACCAAUCUAUGCUAAAAGGUGAGAUUGUUUGCGCCAUAUUUCUGUUAGUGAAGAUUGAGGAAAUCCACCAUACAUUGAAAUUAAAAGAUUGGCAAAGAUUUAUUUCCAUGUUUAUUUUUGAAUUAAUAGAGUCCUAUUCUUGUCAUAUUUUUAUUAGGACUUAGAUUUAUUUUUGUGUAUUAUAUUCUAGGUAGGUAUCUUUUGUACUUAUCUAGAAUAAAAGUAGAAAUCGACUAGGACUCUAUUACCUAGUUAAAUUGAUUUCUUAGGGCUCAAGUUAGGUUUAUGGUGGUGAAUUUUGUACCUAUAUAAAGCCCUCAAUCUCAUAUGAGUCCCAUGAAGCUUUAAUCGAAAAAUCCCAGCAUAAAGGCUUUGAAGGGUUCAGCCGGUGCUGCAGCUCUGUCUGCACGUCAGGUGUGGCAACAGAACGGGUUUCUUUUACCAGGCCAUAAAGAAUAUCGGUGUUUCAGGAGAAGUGCUUAAAAGAUCUCGGGGAGAGGUCGAUCCGCCGUCUGAAAGGUGUUCAACAUUAAAGGGAGUCCAAGAGUGCGGAUGGAGGAAUUGCUUUGAGCAUCAACAAGUUCGAGUUGUGUGCAAGAACGACGUAUAACAAAAAAAGGGAAUCUUUAGUGUUUUUAUUAAGUCCAAUAUUGUACACUUAAAUCUGAACUAGUUUACAAGUCCUCGUGGAUGUAAGGUACAUUUGUAUCCGAACCACAUUAAAUUCUUGUGUUCUUUUAUUCUGCUUUUAGUAAAUUAAUUAUGUAUACUGUUAAGUGUAUAUUUUUACACUUUAUCGUAUCUUUUUAUUUGAGAUUUUUGUGUGAAUUUACGAUAAUUGGUGCUUAAAAAGUUGAUUUAUUGUAUUCUAGGUACAAAUUGAAGAAUUGGAAAAGUUUGGGGUCAAAACUGCAAUUUUGGAGAAAAUAUGGGCCAAAAGUGAAAUAAUCAAAAAUAUGCUGAAAUUGGCUGAAAACAGGCCCGCACGGCCGUGCCAAAAUUAGCCUAUUUUUGGCACGGCCGUGCCAAAUGCUGAAUUUGGGCAGAAGGUUUGGCGAUUCUCGCGCGGCCGUGCGAGAAUUGCACUGAUUUUCGCGCGGCCGUGCCAACACACGCUGGACACAAUUUUGGACUUUUAAACACACAAGGAAACCUAGAAUCAUCUACCAAGUUGGGACAUCUAUUUAAGCCCAAACCAAGCACGAAUCAAAGGACUUUUGACACAACCUUGGAGCGAGAGGAGCGAGAGAACGAAGAAUCGAAGACGGAGAAUUGACAACUCUUCAUCAUAAUUCUUCUUUCACCUAUCUUUUCUUAAUCUAUGACUUUUAUUACUUUUAUUAUGUUUUUCGUUAUGAGUAGCUAAGUUUUUAAUCUAGGAUUUUGUUGGAACCCUAUGUGGGGAUUGUGAACCCGUUUUCUUGAGAUUAUGCAAUUAUGAUUUUAUGCGUUGAGACAUAAAACUCUUAUGGACUGAAGCUUGGGCUGCUCGAAGUAAAUGCACAAUGGAGCAUGGUCAGAUAGAGAGCGAUCAAGGUGUACCACCUUCAAAGUUGGAAACCGGAGCUGGAAAGCAGAGUUAACCAAUACUCUAUCCAAUCGGCUCCACACCCGGUUAGUACCAUGUCGGUUGUUGCUCCAAGUAAACGGGUUUCCUAUGAACCCUGCAUCGAGAAGACCCGAUUAAAUAAAAAAAUUCUGGAAAUCAUGGAGUCUUGUAGCGUCAUUCAAGCCUCCUUUCUUUUCCGACACAUCUAAAAUCGCAUUAAAAUCACCACCUAGAAACCAAGGAUCCGAGAUAACUUCAUUCAUAGCAGAGAGGUGAGCCCAAAGAUCCUUCCUUGAAUGGUGAGAACAAGUAGCAUACACAAUGGAAGCUGUGAAGUGCGGUUUACUAGGGGUGGUAAUAGAAACUGUGAUAGCUUGUUCAAAAAUAUUCGGGCAUUGAACAUCUACCUUGGCUUUCCAUAGUAUCCAUAUGUAUUGGUUUUUAUCCUCACCGUGUAAGUAUGAGGGAAAACCUAAUUUCCAGGCAAAAUUGUGCAGCCUAGCCAUGGGAAGUUUCAGUUCUAAUAUCACCAAUAAAUUGACCCGUUGUUGAAAAACGAGGGUUUUUAUAUGAUUAAUUUUAGAUUGUGGACAGACCCCCCGCGCAUUCCAAAUUAAACACGACAUGAUUAAACUUGGAGAUUGGCAGAGAACUUUGCCAGAUAUCUGGUAACUCGAUCGGUAGGUGGGAUAAAAUACCUACUAUUAGGGUUUAGAACUUUAGUUCCAGGAGCUCGCACAGGGACUUCACCGUCCGAUUUUGGAGACAUGGGUACACCUGUUUCGUCAUCUUUUUCCCCGUCGGGAUGGUAAAUUGUAAGGGUCAAAUUCGCAUCACCUACCAAAUGUAAUUGAUCAAACUGAUUUUCAACUGCAAUUGAAUCGUCUCUCAUUUUUUUUAUUGGUUGUUGGAUUUAGGGAAGCGUUUUCUAAAGUUCGUUCCGCUUCGUGGAAGUGGGCUUGCAUGGAUGGUUGUUGUAUGUCACCAGCAUCAGUGUUGGAAGUGUGGGUGUUUUGCGUCUCAUCUACGUGGCAUGUUGAGUCUCGAGCACCGUCAAUGUGUUGAGUAAGAUUUGAACCGUCUUGAGUCUUGUGCUUAGGUUUUAGACCGGUGUCCACCUGAUAACCAGCAGUUGUACCAGACGUGGUAGGGAGUGGAGUCUCGAUAUUUUUCGACAUCCUUGAUACAGAUUUUGGGUUAGAAUCAGCUGCAAGGAUAUGACCGACCUCAUCCUGAGUAGUAUCGGUCUCACCAUGGUGCAAUAUAUGAGUAGGUUGUUUCUGCCCCAACGGUUUUGGCUUGCUAGGAGGUUUCGGUAACCCUUGUUUUUUCCUACAUGCUCCAACCAGAUGCCCCAACAACCCACAAUGAGAGCAGUACAGGUGAUUACCUUCAUACUCGACUUUUUGCCACCACCCAUCCUCCUUGGAUGUACCUAUGAAUAUCGAUUCCGGCAAUUGCUUUGCAACAAUAACCUCUAUGCAAACUCUCGCGUAAUGUGUAUGUGUAAAAGCCAACGUUCUAUCAUCCACUCGUAAGACAUUACCAUGCGCUGUUCCAAUUCGUUCCAAAGAUGAGACCUUGAAAUAUGGGAGCGGUAACUUAAGGAGACGAACCCAAACUGCAACCCUGCUACUAUCUUUGCCUAUAGAAAAUUCUGGUGUCCAACGAAAAAGUCGGAACAUACAAUUCUUUAUAUUAUUCAAAUUGCGUGAAAGGGCGAGCUUUGCAUCUUGAGUCGAGCCCAUAUGAAUCGUGAUAUGUCUUGGAUCUAAAAAUCCUAUAGCUGGCUCCGACACUAGAUUCCAUUUUGUAUUGAUGUGUGUACAGAUAUCUUGUAAACUUGGGCGGCCUGCCAAGAUUUCAUGAUCAGUGUAUAGUCUACCUGACGAUUUAGUUGGUCGAUUUCCAUUGACGAGAAGAACACCGUCGGAGCUUGUUCAACAGACGAGGUGGGGCGAGGGGCUAAAGCAACGGGGACUAGGCGGGGAGGUGAAGUUGUUCUUUGGUUGGUCAGCAUGGCCGCAAAAGAGGGCUGGGGUUGCUGCCUUGGAGGCGCCAGCGGCUGGUCCGGUGGUUGCAUGCCGCCGGAAUAGGACAAAAAGCGGAGAUGGGCAGCUAGGGUUAGGGUUCGACGAUGAGAGAGAGAAGAGACGCAAAAUUAUCUUCUAAUUCACAAAAUAUUACAAGUAUUAAAAAAGGGGGAAUGCGAUAUAGGCUCAUGGAAUAAAGUUUUGUUUGAAAUCAGCUCACCUUGAACUUUUAUUUCAAAUAGAGCCAUAAAAACAUGAAUCCCAAAAUAACCCUCACCUAUUUUCAUUUCAUAUAAGCAUCAAGUGUUGGAAAAAUAAAAAAAUAAAAUUAAUGAACACAACAACACCCAACACCACCUCACCCCACCCCACCCGGUUAUUAUUGUACUCUUAUUUUCUUUGAUACGACAGGUGGUCGGAGUCCUGAGCAGACUCAACUUAUCAAUAUUGGCUUAAUUCCACUUUGCAUCCUUGAAAAAUAAUAAUAGCAUUUUGCACCCUCAGGACACAAUAAAUCCUUCACAAUGCACCGUUAAUUGAAUAAUAAAGGAUAAUUCAUUUAUUAUGGUUUUGUUUCUUUUUUCAGGGUACAAAAUAACAAAUUAAAUUGUUAUUUCUUUGACCUCCAACCUAAUUUCGAGCGCACAAAGUGCGCAAAAAUUAAAAUCACACUGAUAAAUGAUUUUUGUUUUUCUUAGACAAUAAAAUCAAUUAGACUGUUAUUACUAAAUUAUUCGAUUGAUGGAUCUUUUAUGGUAAUUGGUAAAAAUAUUAGGUAGAAAUAUUUUGAAGAAACUAUGAUUUUCUGAUAACUUGAUAAUCAAAUAGCUGAAGAAUUUUUUUUUCGUAAAUUUUUUUGUCAUAAAAAAAUAUAAUUUUUAAAUACCACUAAACAUAUUAACUUACCUUUAUUAGCUUUAAAAACUCGUAUGGGGUGCAUUAUGCAUGAUAAUUUGUGUUUUGAGGGUACAAAGUGCUAUUAAUUUGUUUUGACGGUGCAAAGUGUCAAAAUAGUAUAUUUCAAGGGUGCAAAGUGGGAUUAAGCCUAUCAACAUCAGUUCACUUUAUACCAUAUGCUAAAAUCUGACUUAUUUUGCUUUUUUUUAACCAGUGGAAGAUCGUUGGAGCUCAAAUCAUCUGUCAGAGCAGACUCAACAUUAGUUAACUUCGGCUUCACCUGAAACCAGACUUUUUUCAGCUCUGAUUUAGUUAACUAAAUAAAGUUAAAUGAUGCAGAAAUCAGAUAAGAUUUAGUUAGUUAAUCAGAGCUCCGACGAUCCGUCGUUGGAAAAAAAAAAAGAAAAAGAUGUUAGCUAAUAUUUAAUCAGCUAAUCACAACUCCGAUGAUCCGCCGUCGAAAAAAUAGGUAGAAAGAAAAAAUAUUUUCUCAGCUAGUGCUGAAGUCAACUAAUGUUUUGUAAGAUGAUCGGAGCUCCCACAAUCCGUUACUUGAGAAAAAGAGAGGAUAAAAAAGAAAAUCAAUCAGAUAUCAGCUAAUGUUGGUUUGUAAAGUCAGCUAAUCAGACCUCCGAGACCCGCAAUCGAAAAGAAACAAAAAUUAAAAAUAAAUAAAUAAAUAAAAAUAAAAUCUUAUUAAUGAAAAUAAGGUUGCUUCUGGUAAGCUCUAGGGGCUUUCCCUCUAAUUUAAUAGUUCCAAUAGUCACUUAAUUUCAUUUAAUAUAAUUAAUUUUAAUAAUAUUUAUUAUUUGCUCCUAUUUUUUGCCUCAAAUCUAUGUAAUUAAUUAUUGAUUCCUAUUAAUACUUUAUUUACUCCAUUAAUUUUAGCAAUAUUUAGUAAUUGACUCCUACUAUUUUUCCCAAACAUAUGAAAUUAAUUAUUAGUUCCUAUUAUUAUUUUAUUCACUAAAUUAAUUCCCAUGAUUAAUUGAGAAAUCUGAAGAUGUAACACACCCCCCCCCCCCCCCCCCCUUUUUUUAUUCCAGUUACUUUUAUUAUUUUAUUUACUCAAUUCGUUUCACAGAUUUUUUGCCCCAAAUCUAACUACACAUAUCUUUCUUUGACAAUAUUUUUCUUUAUCCCACUUCUCUCUACAAUCACCUCUCCCGUCUCCUUUUUUUAGAUUGUUUUAUUGAGUUAUUUAGUAUCUUUUAAGAUUUUCUUCCCCAAAUCAACCGAUGUAUCUUUUUCCCACUUCUUUCUACGUAUCUUUCGAAAAACCUACUUAUAUCUUUCUCCCACUUCUGUGUAGGGAUCUUUCUCCCUACCAAAAAUCAUCUCCAUUCAUCGGGUUAGUUUUGAAGAAGUAACUUUGUUCAUUAAGUCAAUUUCGUAUCUAUAGAUGUAAUGGACAGUUCAUUUUCUUUUAUGUUAUUCUUUCAACAUUAGAUUCGUUCCUUUUUCUAAUUCUAUGUUUUUGUUCUUUUAUUCAUAAUAGCAGAUAUGGCUCCAAAGCCGUUCUUGAUUCAUGAAAUUAUUCCGGGCAAAAAGACUGAAGGGAAAAGUAUUUAUUUGGGAGAUACGUCUACGGUUCUUAACUGAUAAGUGGAAUCCAAAAGAGAAAGCUAGCAUCGAAAUGAUUUUUAUUGAUGAGAAGGUGAUUGUGUACUUAUUUGUUUAUUAUGUUUAUUUUUUCCUUAUUUAUGUUUUGAGUAUUCAAAAUGUAAAUAUAAUUGUGACAUUAUGGUUGCCCAUAUUUUGAUGGGCGAACAUAAAAUUUCCUCAUCAUAUUAUCUUUAUGUGAUAUGUAUAAUAAAGAGGUUCUCCUUGAUCCCUCGACCACUUUUGUAGGCUCAAAUGUUUUGGUUCUCUUCAUUUUACUGUGAAUUAAUGAAUUAAGAAUCUAGGAUCAUUUCGAAAAAUUUGAACAUUUAUAUUGUCUGUUGUUUUCCUAAAUAUUUGAAUUUAUUUAAUAAAAUUUUAGGAUCAGCGAUACGAUCCAGCCAAUAACGCGAGGUAGUGCCGAGCUGGAUGAGUGAGUUGAUGACUUGAACGAGCUGCAUGUGCCAAUAGGACCGAUUACGCGAGCUCGGGCCAAACGCAUUGAAGCAGCCAUGCUUAGCUUAGUAGAACACGAGCUCCGAAAGGAAUAAUUGACGAAAUCUAGUUCGAUCCCAGCUGAGGUUAAUUGGAGCGAAUUGUCGGGCCAGAUUGUGAAGUAAGCCGAGCUCAAGGACUUGAGCCCGUCUAGUCAUCCAGCCGAGAAGACGUGACAUGGAAAUGAUUAUUAUUAUUUAUUUUCGUAUUUUAUUAUUGAACAAUGUAUUUCUUGCUAUUUAGAGUCCGAGUUGGACUAAAUUUAGUUUAUUUGGUUAUUUCCUUAUAAUAGAUAAGUAAAGAUUUAUUUUCCUUAGAUCAGGUCUCUUUAACACUUAUAAAUACAGGUUGUUUUAGGGUCAUUAUUAUUUGGACGUUUUUAAGCAUUAAUUUGAGAGAUUAAAAACUAUCCUUCGUUGUUCUUCAACAACUCUUCGGGAUAUUUUGCGAGUGGAUUCUUGUGAACUAUUCUUAGCGAUAUAGUGUUGGUUUUUGAUUCAUAAUAAUCACGGGGUCAAUACUUUCAUCUUUAUAAUAUUGGUUUCUAGCUCUCUCUAGCAACGGGGUCAAUCUUCCGAAUUCCGCCAAUUGAAUCAUUUCUUUGGACGUUCCGUUCUUGCUUCCACGUAAGAUAUUUGGAUCUCGUAACAAGUUCUACGAGGUUCGUAUCAGUUGGUAACCAGAGCCUAUUUCCAAAACAGGUUUUUCCUAUCUUUUGUUUUCAUGUGUUUGAUUUCAUUUUUCUUUUCGUGUCGGUUAUUGAUUGUGUCUUCUAGUCAAUCUCAUCAUCUCUUGAUUUGUAUCUUCUAGAGUCUUCAAAAAAAAUGAAAAAAGAAAAUCCGAAAUCAGCAAAAAGAAGAUCGGACAUGGCAAAAAAAAAAAAAAAAAAAAAAGUUAAAGAAAUAGAGAGAAGAAGCACAAUUUGAAAAUACAAGCAAGCAAGGAUUCAAUUAGUUUCCUAGUCUCUGAAAUUCUUGUUUCCUUAUCUACCUUGUCUCCUUUUUUAAAUCCACAUUCUUUAGUAGUUUUCUACUGCAUAUCUCAUUCUUUCUUGUACCUUUUUGUUUCCUUUAUCAUAAAUUCGAAUUCCUCUUUUAUUUUCCUCCAAAUAAAUUCUGAAUUAAUCAUAUAUCAUUUAGCUUUGAAUAAAAAUGAAAUUUCACUCAAAAAAAAAUUCUCGAUUAGUUUCUUUAGAACUUUGAAGAAAGUUUACGAGUGGAAAAAGGCAAGAGAGUGUGAGAUCAAAAGAGGGUAAAAGCCGAUUUGUGUGAAACACGAGUGAAUUGAGUGGACAUCAUCUUGAGUGAUACAGAUAAGGGAAUGGUGAGGAAAAUCUUUUUUCUUUAACAAUAUUUUGCAGUUCGAGCACCAUGUCAUGGAAUGGUAGUGGUGGUGAAAGGGACGGAGCCACGGAGCAGCACUUCCAACAUCUGCAUAUAACCCUUCAAAUGAUGCAAAAUCAAAUCGAUGAGUUGAGUAGGGUAAGACCUGCACCGGCACCACAACUGCGGCAACCUAUUCGUCAACAUAUUCUAUGCCAACGUGACGAAUUGGAGUUCGAUGAAGGAUCUGAGGUAGAGUCUAAUACUUCUAGACGAUGGCGUAGAAGACAAGGGAAAAAAGGUGACAAAUUUGACAGACUGAGGCGAGGUAAUGUGGGACGAGAAAGAGAUGGAUCCCGAGGCAUACAUAGAAUGGGAAAGAAAGGUUGAGCUCGUUUUCGAUUGCCACACUUAUUCCGAGGAAAAGAAGGUGUAGCGUUCACCGAUUAUGCUAUCAUUUGGUAGAAUCAAUUGGUAGUGACUAGAUGCAGAACUGGCGAACCGCCAAUUUUGGAUUGGGAGUCUAUGAAGACACUUAUGAGACGGAGGUUCGUGCCCUCACAUUAUUAUAGAGACUUGCAUCUGAAAUUGCAAAGCUUGAAGCAAGGUGCUAAAUCAGUCGAGGAGUACCAUAAGUAGAUGGAGAUUGCAAUGAUUCGAGCCAAUAUUGAGAAGGAUCGAGAGGCCACGAUGGCAAGAUUUAUUUGCGGGCUGAACCAGGAGAUCGCUAAUGUAGUGGAGUUACAGCACUACGUUGAGAUUGAGGAGGUCGUUUAUAUGGCCAUGAAAGUUGAGAGAAAGCUUAACCGAGGGGGGAGAACAACAGCUCGGGCCAAGGCAUCAAGCUGGAAACCGCGAUGGAAUCCUACUUCGAAACCCGAGGAGAAAUCGACAACGAAACCUUCCAAUGAUCAUCCAAUCAACCGAGCACCAACUGAGAGAGGUAAUACUUCGUCACAAGCUAGGGCUGCAAGUCACCAAACAUCCGAGAACUUACAAACUUCAGUGGCUGAAUGAAAGUGGCGACUUGAGAGUGACGAAACAAGUAUUUAUUUCCUUUAGUAUUGCACAAUACAUAGAUGAGGUGAUGUGCGAUGUUGUACCCAUGCAAGCAAGUCAUAUCUUACUUGGGUGACCUUGGUAAUUUGAUCGACGAACAGUUCAUGAUGGUUACAAAAACUGCUACACUUUUACUAAUGAUGGCAUGCGAAUCACACUUGCACCUUUACCACCUCGUCAUGUGUUUGAGGAGCAAAAUUAGAUCAAGAAUUCCAUUGCUGCAAGUUCAAGACAAAAUGAGAAUGAACGUGCACGUGUUAGUAUUAGUGGAGAAGUAAAACAAGAGAGUUUAGCCGAAGUUAGAAAAGAAAAAGAAGAGAGUGCAAACUUAAUAAAGAGAGAUGGGAGAAAAGUGAGAUUUUAUGCAAAAGAAUGAGAGACUAAGAGUGCAUGUAAGGGUGAGAGAACAAUGAUGUUGUUAGUGUUAGGGGGUUCUAUUUUUCUAAUGCUAACCUUAAUUCUCCUUUGCCUAGUAUUGUUAUUUCUCUUUUGCAGGAGUUCGAUGAUUUCUUUCCCGACGAGACCCUAACGGGGUUGCCACCAAUUCAAGGGAUUGAGCACCAAAUUGAUGUUAUUCCUGGGUCCCAAAUUCCAAAUAGACCAGCUUACCGAAGUAGUCCCGAGGAGAGAAAAGUUAAAUUUUAUGCAAAAGAAUGAGAGACUAAGAGUGCAUGUAAGGGUGAGAGAACAAUGAUGUUGUUAGUGUUAGGGAGUUCUAUUUUUCUAAUGCUAACCUUAAUUCUCCUUUGCCUAGUAUUUUUAUUUCUCUUUUGUAGGAGUUCGAUGAUUUCUUUCCCGACGAGACCCUAACGGGGUUGCUAUCAAUUCAAGGGAUCGAGAACCAAAUUGAUGUUAUUCCAGGGUCCGAAAUUCCAAAUAGACCAGCUUACCGAAGUAGUCCCGAGGAGACGAAAGAGUUACAACAGCAAGUGGACGACCUGUUAGCUAAAGGACAUGUUCGAGAAAGCAUGAGUCCUUGUGUAGUGCCUGUUUUACUAGUACCGAAGAAGAAUGGGAGUUGGAGAAUGUUUGUUGAUUGUCGAGCCAUCAAAAAAAUUAUGGUAACGUAUCGACACCCCAUUCCUUGAUUAGAUGACAUGUUAGAUGACCUACAUGGUUCCAUUAUCUUAUCUUAAAUUGAUUUGAAAAGUGGUUGUCACCAAAUUCGCAUAAAAGAGGGAGAUGAGUGGAAAACUGCAUUUAAAACUAAGCAUGGAUUGUUGAAUGGUUAGUGAUGCCUUUUGGUUUAACUAAUACACCAAGUACGUUUAUGCGACUUAUGAAUCAUGUUAUGCGAUCUUACAUAGGAAAAUUGGUUGUUGUUUACUUUGAUGAUAUCUUAGUAUAUAGCAAUAAUUUGCAUGAUCAUGUUGAGCAUUUGAGAUGUGUCUUGGAGUCCUUACGGCGAGAACAAUUAUAUGCUAAUUUAAAGAAUUGUGAUUUCUGCCAAGAUAGGAUAGUUUUCCUUGGUUUUGUUGUGAGUUCUAGGGGCGUUGAAGUGGACGAGGAAAAGGUUAAAGCUAUUCGUGAAUGGCCAACACCCAAGAACGCAUCCGAGGUGUGAAGCUUCCAUGGCCUAUCGGGAUUCUAUAGGAUAUUUGUACCUAACUUCAGCACAAUUGCAGCACCUUUGACCGAGGUGAUCAAGAAGGAGGUUGGCUUCAAAAGGGGCGAUGCGCAAGAGAAUGCAUUUUGCACUUUGAAAGAUAAGCUAAGUUCCGCUCCUUUAUUACUUUUACCAGAAUUUUCUAAAACUUUCGAAAUCAAAUGUGAUUCUUCCGGAAUUGGUAUUGGUGCAGUGCUUAUGCAAGACAAGCGACCUAUCGCUUAUUUCAGCGAGAAGCUCAACGGCGCAACCUUGAAAUACUCGACCUAUGACAAAGAGCUCUACGUGUUGGUGCGAGCUUUGGAGACUUAGCAACAUUACUAGUUGUCUAAGGAAUUCGUAAUCCACACUGAUCACGAGUCUCUAAAGCAUCUUAAGGGCCAAGGCAAGCUGAACCGAAUACAUGCUCGGUCGGUGGAGUUUAUCGACAUGUUUCCUUUUGUGAUACAGUACAAACAAGGUAAAGAUAAUGUCGAAGCUGAUGCACUAUCUCACAGGUAUGUUCUCAUUUCGACCCUUAGCGCUAAAUUCUUAGGUUUUGAGCAUGUUAAGGAGCUGUACAUGAACGAUCAUGAUUUUGCUACUAUAUUUGCUGCAUGUCAAAAAGGAACUUUUGAAAAAUUAUACAAGCAUGAUGAUUAUUUGUUUAGAGAGAACAAACUUUGCAUGCCUAAUUGUUCGCUUCGUGAAUUACUUGUGCGAGAAUCACAUGGAGAGAGUUUAAUGGGACAUUUUGGUGUUUCAAAAACAUUAGAUAUUUUAAAAGAACAUUUCUUUUGGCCGCGUAUGAAGCAAGAUAUUGAGAGGGUUUGUUCGAAGUGUCUAACACGUAGGCGAGCUAAAUCUAGGGUUAAACCACAUGGAUUAUAUAUGCCAUUACCUGUGCCUACUCACCCUUGGACCGAUGUAUCAAUGGAUCUUGAUUUAGGGUUUUCGAGGUAGAGUAAAGGUCGACUUUAUAUUUUUGUUGUGGUAGAUCGUUUUUCUAAAAUGGCACACUUUAUUCCAUGUCAUAAAACUGAUGAUGCUACGCAUGUAGCAAAUUUAUUCUUUAGAGAAGUAGUGCGAUUGCAUGGGGUACCUCGUACUAUUGUUAGUGAUAGGGAUGUUAAAUUCCUUAGUUAUUUUUGGCGUUUUUUGUGGGAUAAGUUAGGUACGACUUUACUCUUUUCUACUACUUGUCAUCCACAAACCGAUGGUCAAACCGGUGAAGUUAAUCGAAAUUUAGGUAUGUUAUUGCGAGUUGUUCUUAAAAGAAACCUAAAGUCAUGGGAGGAAUGUAUUCAUUUUAUUGAGUUCGCGUAUAAUAGAUAGGUGCAUUCUUCUACAAAGUUUUCACCUUUUGAGAUUGUUUAUGGUUUUCAUCCGUUAACUCCUUUGGAUUUGUUGCAUUUACCUGUUAAUGAUAUUUCUAGUCUAGAUAGGAAGCGUAAGGCUGAGUUAGUGAAGAAAAUCCAUGAAGAAGCACGCGAGCACAUUGUGAAGAGGAAUGAGCAAGUUGCGAACCGAGCUAAUAAGGGGCGAAAGCACCUUACCUUUCAGCAAGGAGAUUGGGUUUGGGUUCAUUUACGAAAGAAAAGGUUUCCCAAUCAGCGGAGUUCAAAACUUAAGCCACUAGGAGAUAGACCGUUCCAAGUGCUGGAAAAUAUUAACGAUAAUGCAUAUAAGAUCGACCUUCCAAGUGAGUAUCAAGUAAGUUCGACAUUUAAUGUUUCUGAGCGAUCUCCGUUUUAUGUAGGUUCAGAUUCGAGGAUGAAUCCUUUCCAAGUGGGGAAGGAUGAUAUGAUCCAGCCAAUUACUCGAGGUAGUGCCGAGCUGGAUGAAGGAGUUGAUGACUUGGACGAGCUGCAUGUGCCAAGACGACCGAUUACGCGAGCUCGGGCCAAGCGCAUUGAAGCAACCAUGCUUAGCUUAGUAGAACACGAGCUCAGAAAGGAAGAAUUGACGAGGUCUAGUUCGAUCCCUGUUGAGCUUAAUUGGAGCGAAUUAUCGGGCCAGAUUGUGAAACAAACCGAGCUCAAGGACUUGAGCCCGUCUAGUCAUCCAGCCGAGAAGACGUGACUUGAAAAAAUGAUUAUUAUUUAUUUUCGUAUUUUAUUAUUGAACAAUUUAUUUCUUCCUAUUUAGAGUCCAAUUUGGACUAAAUUUAGUUUAUUUGGUUAUUUCCUUAUAAUAGAUAAGUAAAGAUUUAUUUUCCUUGUUAGAUUAGGUCUCUUUGACACUUAUAAAUAGGUUGUUUCAGGGUCAUUAUUAUUUGGACCUUUUUAAGCAUUACUUUAAGAGAUUAAAAAUUCUCCUUCGUUGUUAUUCAACAACUCUGCGGGAUAUUUUGCGAGUGGAUUCUUGUGAACUAUUCUUAGCGAUAUAGAAUUGGUUUCUGAUUCAUAAUAAUCACGGGGUCAAUAUUGGUUUCUAGCUCUCAAUAUCUACGGGGUCAAUAUUCCGAAUUCCGCCAAUUGAAUCUUUUCUUUGGACGUUUCUGUUGGGUUUCGGGCACGCGUACGCAGCGGAAAACAAAAAUUUUAUGUGAUUUAAACGACUUUAAAACACACAAGCACAUGCCCGAUAAAUUAAAUCAAUUAAUUGCGUACCUUUGCGCUUCCAGCGAAAUUAAAAACAAUAUACAUGCUAAAUAAUUUAACCGAAUUUUAAUCAAUUAACAUGCUCGCGUUUAAACCAAUAAUCAUGCUUGCAAAGAUUAAAACGAUUACACAUAAUCACAUAAAAUCAUACGAUAGCAAACAUGAAUUCAUAGUUUAAACAUAAACGAAUCGAAACUAGGGUUUCGUAUAUUUACCUCUUGAAGCGUGAGGUAGGAGCGUUUAGCAAGUCGAGAUUGCUACGGAAACCAAUCCGUACAAUCGGGGCAGCAGCGGCGAAUCAGCCACGGCGGCGCGUGAGGUACACGCCCGGUCUUCCGGGGCGGCGCGUGGGGCAGCGUGCGGCUUCGGCUCGUGCGCUGCUCUUCGAUUCCUCGAUCUUCGAUCUUCCUCCUCUUGGAUUUCACCUCGUAUACUUCGAUCUACUAAACACGUGGCACUAGACACGUAAUAGUUAGAAAAACGGAAGAAAAAGAGAAGGAAAAAGACUACCAAGGCAGUCGGCCGAUGAACGGCCGAUUCCGGCGAGAAUCCGGCGACGGCGCCGGUGAUGGCCGCGGGAGAGAGGCCGAGAGAGAGAGGUGGACGGCUGCUAGGGUUAGGGUUCUUGUUGUGUUGUUUUUUGUGCAAGACCUAUAAAUCAAGUAUUUAUAUGUCUUGCAUAAAACCCUAGCGGGCUUAAGUUGGACCGGGCCCAACAGCUUAAGUCCGUUAGUAUCUUUACUUGCUCGUCUCUCUUAAUUCAAUGACCGAAAAAUUGCAACGAUUACAUUUUCGGAUUCAUUAUAACUUCCUCGUCAUUACGAGUGCCAUCUCUCAUUUUCCAACUUUCCAAAAGUGGAAACCCUAGUUCAGUGCACUUUCUAAAUUUGGAAACUUCCCGAUUUAGAAAGUUCACUAAUACGUUCGCCUAUUCUUUUCCUUUUCUUAUUCUCAUUCAUAUUUCCAAAUUACGAAUGUUGGAUCCAAUCAUAUUGACUUCCAAUCAUGCAAAGAUAAACUAUUUUACCUUUGACCGUUUAUUCAAAGAUCUCAUGUGCACGAGCAGUGUGACCCUCGAUGGUUCAGGUGUAAGCUAGCCGUGGGUCCACAACCCUUUGUGGUCAAAACUCGUCCCUUAGAGUUACGAUUAAGAUGAAGCUCGUUUCAUCUUAAUCACCCAACGAAUCAAGAUUGGCGUCUAGCAACUACGCGUCAUGAUUCCCUAGAUACAAAUGAAGUGCCUGCAAGAACCUUCAGAUAUAGUUAACGUACAGUACGGUCCCUUCGAUACAUAUGUCCCGAUCGAACUAGAGGCAUUGGUUCAUCGAGACCUCUUUAUAUGUUCGAUGACGGUGCGAUCGUUCUAAGUGUUGUAAUCCUUACGUGCAUGACUUAGAGAAUCGAAUCCUCUAAUCAUCACUUAGUCAGCUCUGGCCAGAGACUUAGAAUGAUUACAAACUUUCAGAACACACAGGACAUCCAAGACUAUUCUAGCGAUCGAAUCCCCGACUACAAUGCACAGACCUCCCACUAGAUUUCGGACUGCACGAACACUGGCCCUUGGGAUGGUCCUCGGUGGAACUCAGGGACAGGUCACGAUACAGCUGGUCCUCUAGUGAAGUCACGGUGAUGUCUAGGUCAUAAGGACUAAUGGUGUACAACUAUACCAUAGAUUUCUCUACUCGAUUAUUGGGAACCACUUAGAGAUUUCUAGGGUGAGGGAGUUCAGUGAACUCGUCAACUUACGAGCACCCACUUAUGCAUGCCGAUAUCACAAUACCGUUUACUGAUGAGAUGCAGUAGACAUACACUAAGUGCUAGUCUUAAUGGGAAAGGCCGAUAUCCUCAUUAGUGGCGUAACCCUUCGACUAGGAACACGUUUAACAGUUAUAAUACUUGAGUAAAUAUCUCACGAUCCUAACGAUCAAUUACUAGUACUUGUAAUAACUGUAAGGACUAUAUCUAUGCUUGUGACAAAGGGACAAAGAUAUAGAAUGCCAAGGUGUUUUAUCAUUAAUACGAAUAAAGGUUCGUUUAUUACAAUAAUAAAUACGAAAGACCACAGCCACAAGUUGGCUUGUUGGUCACCUACUCUAACAAUCUCCCACUUGACCUAAAGCCAACUACCCAUAAAUCGCAAUCCCAUCGACUCUCGAUGUUUCUCAUGGACCGAUCUCGGUAAAGGCUUCGUGAAGGGGUCUGCAACGUUCUCUUCCGAGGUGACUCGUUCAACCUUGACUUCACCUCUAUCAAUGAUCUCUCGGAUCACGUGAUACUUCCUCAGAAUAUGCUUCGACUUCUGAUGAGAUCGUGGCUCCUUAGCUUGCGCCACGGCUCCGGUGUUAUCACAGUACAACGGUACUGGAUCACUAGCAUCAGGAAUGACACCCAACUCUUGGAUGAAUUUCCUUAUCCAAGUCCCUUCUUUUGCAGCUUCGGACGCUGCAAUGUAUUCCGCUUCGGUAGUGGAAUCGGCCGUCGUGCUUUGCUUGGAACUCUUCCAACACACGGCACCACCAUUAAGCGUGAAUAUAAAUCCAGAAUUCGACUUUGAGUCGUCCACAUCCGAUUGAAAACUAGAGUCAGUAAAACCCUCUAAUUUCAACUCGGCACCCCCAUAGACCAAAAUUAUAUCCUUAGUUCUUCGCAAGUACUUGAGGAUAUCUUUCACGGCUUUCCAGUGAGCCGGGCCGGGGUUAGACUGAUAUCUGCUUGUGACACUCAGAGCAUACGCAAUAUCGGGUCUCGUACAUAGCAUGCCGUACAUUAUGCUUCCUAUGGCAGAAGCAUAGGGCGUCCUUUUCAUCUCCUCGAUUUCACUAGGUGUUUGCGGACACAUAGAUUUCGAGAGACGAACCCCAUGGGACAUUGGCAAGAAUCCCUUCUUGGAAUGUUCCAUGCUAAACCGUUUCAUAACGGUGUCUAUGUACAGGCUUUGGGAUAAGCCAAGCAUCUUCCUCGCUCUAUCUCUAUAGAUGCGUAUUCCUAAUACGUAAGAUGCUUCUCCCAAAUCCUUCAUUGAGAAACGUGUGGACAACCAUGCUUUCGUUUGUUGCAGCAUUCCUACGUCAUUCCCAAUGAGUAGAAUGUCAUCAACGUAAAGCACUAAAAAUAUCACUGCCCUCCCACUAACCUUCUUGUAUACACAAGGUUCCUCCGGAUUCUUCUCAAAAUCAAACUCUUUGAUAGUUGAGUCGAAUCUAAUGUUCCAACUACGGGAUGCUUGCUUCAAUCCAUAAAUGGAUCGCUGGAGCUUGCAAACCUUUUGCUCACUUCCAGAAGAUAUGAAGCCUUCCGGCUGCGCCAUGUAAAUUUCUUCCUCAAUGUCUCCAUUAAGGAAGGCGGUCUUCACAUCCAUUUGCCAUAUCUUGUAGUCGUACCAUGCAGCUAUGGCCAGCAAAAUCCUAAUGGACUUUAGCAUCGCGACUGGUGAAAAGGUUUCCUCAUAGUCAACACCUUGCCUUUGAGUGUAUCCUUUUGCUACCAAUCUAGCUUUAUAGGUCGAUACCUUUCCAUCAACUCCAAUUUUCUUCUUAUAGAUCCACUUGCAGCCUAUAGGAACAAUUCCUUUGGGUGGAUCUACCAAGACAUAUGAUGAAGAAGAUGAGACAAUAAUAUCGAUAGAAAAUGUUUCUCAAUAAGUUGCCAAUCAAUUUAAAGGUAUUAUUGUUCUAAAAACUCAAUAUGAUUGAACUAAAGGUACUAUAUAUUAGCAUAUUAUUAGAACUAUUUCAUUCAUGAAGAACAUGUAAUAAUCCCACUUUUCAUAAUUGUGAUAUUUAAAGGGUAAAUUAUAUUUCACCACAUGUAUGUAUAAUGAAUUACAUCCACAAGAAUUACGUUGAAUAAUGAAAAAAAUAUUUUUUUGGGGAUUAAAAUCACUUUAUUUAUUACGUGUAUGAUUGUUCUCUAUAAUUUCGAAUUUGUCAGAAACAUAACAAUUCAUUAAAAAAAAAUUAGAUUUUCCACUAAAUUCUAACUACUUUGUAAUUUCUAUUUUUUUUUUAUUUACUCAUUUUUUGUUGUUGUUCCAUGAAAACAUCUUGAGUUUGAAACUAAUAUCGAAUUAAAAAAUAGUUUGAUUAUGGUAGUUUUUUUGUUUUAAUUGUUGUCUCUAAGAUACACCCGAUGAAAUUCAUUGAGUGUGAAUAUUUGUUUUUUUAACAGUGGAUGAGCUUUUCAAGAUCGUUGCUCGACGAAAAAUUUUACCCUCUUAUUAAUUAGUGUUGCUCAUGUUGAAGCCACCAAUGUAUCUGCUGCCGAUGAGUAUGGAUAUUUUUUUUCUUUAUCAAGUGAUUUUAGUUUUCUUUUUAUCGAGUGAUGAUUGAGAAAUGUUCAAUUAUUGCUCUCGUUUAGUAAAACAAAAAUUUUCAGUAUUCUAUGCAAGCAAGUUACACUUGGCUCAAAAAACGUGAAGGGCAAAAUAGUGGUGUGUUUAAGGGGGGAAAUGCGAGAGUGACGAAAGGGCAGGUGUGGAGCAAUGGCAAUCCCCAUGGACUGAAUGUAAUGUCAUGUCCAUAGCAAGAACAAGAGACGCUUAUUCUAAUUUUUAUUUAAGACCAAACAUCUUUAGAUGGUACAUUUUUUUACCUUUUACUAUCGAUGUAAUUUAAAUUUAAACUAUUCUAAUUUUGAAACCUCAAUUUUAUAAUUUAAAUUAAUUUAUAUUUUGCAAUAAUUUUGUUUUAGUCCCGUGCAUCGCACGAGUUACAUUGCUAGUAAUAAUCUUAUAGAUAAAAGAAAGAAACGCUAGGGCAACCUAAAAAACCCUAAUGGCAUAUUUGUAAAAACAAAUUAAUUUAUGCGUGUAUAUAUGUUUUUUUUAUCUCUUAUUUUGCCGCCAUUUUUUUUAACUACUUUAACACCAAAUCUCGGCUAGCACAAUCAUAAUCCACUACAUUUAUAAUUUUUAUUAUUAUUAUUAUUAUUAUUAUUAUUAUUAUUAUUAUUAUUAUUAUUAUUAUUAUUAUUAUUAUUAUUAUUAUUAUUAUUAUUAUUAUUAUUAUUAUUAUUAUUAUUAUUAUUAUUAUUAUUAUUAUUAUUAUUAUUAUUAUUAUUAUUAUUAUUAUUAUUAUUAUUAUUAUUAUUAUUAUUAUUAUUAUUUUUAUUUUUAUUUUUUUAUUAUUAUUAUUAUUUUUAUUAUUAUUAUUAUUAUUAUUAUUAUUAUUAUUAUUAUUAUUAUAUUUAUUAUUAUUAUUAUUAUUAUUAUUAUUAUUAUUAUUAUUAUUAUUAUUAUUAUUAUUAUUAUUAUUAUUAUUAUNNNNNNNNNNNNNNNNNNNNNNNNNNNNNNNNNNNNNNNNNNNNNNNNNNNNNNNNNNNNNNNNNNNNNNNNNNNNNNNNNNNNNNNNNNNNNNNNNNNNNNNNNNNNNNNNNNNNNNNNNNNNNNNNNNNNNNNNNNNNNNNNNNNNNNNNNNNNNNNNNNNNNNNNNNNNNNNNNNNNNNNNNNNNNNNNNNNNNNNNNNNNNNNNNNNNNNNNNNNNNNNNNNNNNNNNNNNNNNNNNNNNNNNNNNNNNNNNNNNNNNNNNNNNNNNNNNNNNNNNNNNNNNNNNNNNNNNNNNNNNNNNNNNNNNNNNNNNNNNNNNNNNNNNNNNNNNNNNNNNNNNNNNNNNNNNNNNNNNNNNNNNNNNNNNNNNNNNNNNNNNNNNNNNNNNNNNNNNNNNNNNNNNNNNNNNNNNNNNNNNNNNNNNNNNNNNNNNNNNNNNNNNNNNNNNNNNNNNNNNNNNNNNNNNNNNNNNNNNNNNNNNNNNNNNNNNNNNNNNNNNNNNNNNNNNNNNNNNNNNNNNNNNNNNNNNNNNNNNNNNNNNNNNNNNNNNNNNNNNNNNNNNNNNNNNNNNNNNNNNNNNNNNNNNNNNNNNNNNNNNNNNNNNNNNNNNNNNNNNNNNNNNNNUGUAUUAACUAAUCAUUAUUUCAUUUGAAAUGUUAUCCCGUGCAUCGCACGGGGGAAAAAUGCUAGUAAAACUAAAUGACAUAAAAUACACCUUAAUUGCGGUUUGAAAAGGGUAAAAAUUAUAUAAACUAAUUAUUUGACUUUAUCUUCCUACCUUUAAAUGCAUGAAUGUUUUUUGUUUCUUAACUUUUUAUUGAUACCUAUUCUACCCUUAUUAGUAAUCAUUAUAUAUGUAUGUAUUACUUAUAAUUAUUUAAGUAAAAAUAUUAUUUAUAUUGCAAUCAAUAUUACAUAAAAUUAAAAUAUUGGCACCUUACUUCUCUCUCUCUCUCUCUUUCUUUGUUUUUUUCUUUUUUCUUUUUUUUUAUUCUUUUAUUUAACACAUAGACAAAAUAUAAAAGGUCAAGAACUUUUUAUUUCAUUCAUUGGAGAAAUCAAAUUCGACUAGGAUCUAUGAAUCAUUAGAAAAUAUUUAUUUUUAAUUAUCCGUAAAAUAUUUUUAGUGUCUUGAUUUAGUUUCAUAAUUUACAUCUCAAACCUCUAGAAUGUUUUUAUUUAUUAUUGUUGUAACUGAUAUAAAUUUAUAGCUUUUCUUUUAUCGAAAUGUGUAAAUUAAAUAAACAUCUUUAAUAAUAAAGAAAUUACAUGAAACUUUUAUAACCCGUAAAAUGAAACUACAUUUGAUUUAAUAUGUCUUCGUAAUAUUUAUAUAUGAAAAAAAUAUGAUAAGAUCGAUGAUCCUUUCAUAAACGAUAUGUCUAGUUUGAAUAUUUAGCUUAUAUCUUAUAUGUUUGGGGUUUAUUGCAUUUAUCACCCAUGUGUUUACUCUACUUAUUAAAAAAUUCCCCAUAUUAUAAAUAUUAUCAAAAAAAAACCUCUGUAAUUCAAUUUUAUAAGCAAUCUACCCCUUAAAACAUACUAUUAAGGAGGUUGUGUGCUAAAAAAUGCAUAAAAUAGUUUUAAUUUCUAUAUUUAUAACACAUGAAGAAGUUUUUCCCAAUUUGGUAUAACAGAGGGUUACUAAAUGCAAUAUAAAGUCUUCAAUACGCUUUGUUAGCUGGCAUGACUUGCGGUUGUUGGUUGAUUAUUUAAAACUAUUAGAUCUUUUUUGCUAAGCGUGCUCCCAAGAUGAAAGUUCUUUUUCUAACUAAAUUAGAUCCUGAAAUGACAGCUCAAGUGAGCAUUAUAAGUUUUGUUCACUCUCUCUUUUAACAUAUAAUUUUUUAGUCAUAUAAUUAGCGUACUCAACAAGCGGAUAAGUCGUAAAUUUUUCAUGGAUAAUUUUUUUAUUUUCAUGUGUAAAGGUUAUUGUUUGGUAAUUCCGUGCUUAGACAAUUUUAAUUUCUUUACCUAACAUAAACCCAUUUUAAUGUUGAUAAAUAAUUUUUAAAAUAUUAAUUUUGUUACAGUAAAUAUUAUUCUGUUGGUCAAGGACCUUCCAAAAAGACAAGUCCCAUAAUUUGAACAUUGUUUGUAAAUUAAUAUAAACUAAUUAAAAAAAAUUUAGAUAAUUGACGUAUAUGAAAAGUAUCGAAGUUUAAUUACAUGGAACAUCAAUAUAGUGAUUAAACUGUUAUCCAAAUUCUUGAAAUGUGAAGUGUGAACCACAUUUGGGGGUGAAAAUCAAACGGAACAGGUCGAAAAUGGUUUUUUCGAAAAUUCCACUUCUUUUCAGAAUUCAAAAAUUCAUUCUGAUUUCUAAAUGCCUCGGAAUACCCAGAAUUUCGGAAGUUUCAGAAGUUGCAUUAAUUUAUAAUAUCUUGAUCCAAAUUCGGAUGUAAUGAGAAUUUUCACAAUGUUUUCACUCUUUUUCGGAAUUUUAUAGCGAAAUGCACAAACAUCCAAAAAAAUUCAACAAAUCGCAACAAAUAAAACCACAUGUAGAAAAAACAAUAUGCAACACAGAGUUUCUGAUAUAAGAAAAAAUGCAACAUAUAGUUCUGAUACCAAUUAUUUUUUUAUAGUUUGAAGUUUUAUUUGGCCCGUAUUCAUAUUUUUCAUAAAAAAAUAACAUACAUUAAGUUAUGAAAUUACAAAAAUAUAUCAUAAAAUUCUAUUAUAUGUUUCGAAAAACAAUCAAAAUACCCGUAACUAAAAUCAGAUCGAAAUUGAAAUUUUCGAUAAUUUUAUAUACAACUCCAAUUUCGUGCAAAAAAAAAUAGAAAUCGGAAUUGAAAAUACAGUUCUAAAUAGGGAUAGUUUCGGAUCGGAAUCAGCGGAAUUCCAAAGUCCAUUCUGAUUUCCACCUCUAACCAUAUUGCAUUUUUUACUUUUGUUUUUCCUUUUUUUUAUUUUAUGAGACAUAUGUUGUUGAUAUUUUUAUGUUCGUAUGUCUGAUGAUUUUAUAAGUUAUUAAAAUAUUUUAUUGAUAUGAUAUAUGUUUAAUGAUGUUAAUUAUACAUGUAUUAAGAUUGUCCAUACUUAGGGGUGGAAAUCGACGGAAUCGAUCGGAAAUGUUUUGUUCGGAAAAUUUAAAAAUUUAUUCGGAAGUACAAAAAUGGGUUCCAAUUUUCAUUCCAAAAAAAUACGAAUGCAAAAAUUCAUUCCAAUUUCAGAACGCCUCGGAAUCGGAAGAAUUUUAGAAAUUUCAGAAAUUACUUCAGUUUAUAAACUCUUGUUCCAAAUUCUGAUAUAAUUGAAAUUUUCACAAUAUUUUUCUAUUAUUUUUUAAAUUUUGCAGGAAAAUGCAAGAAAAUCUAAAAGAUAGUUAGAAAAACACAAUAAAUAAAAUCACACGAAGGAACAACAAAUUGAAAGAUAGAUUUUCGGAUAAAGAAAAAUGUAACAUAAAGUUUCUGAUGCCAAUUAAUUUUUUCUAAGGUUCCCAUUUUUUUGGAUCGAAAUUGGCGGAAUUCGGGAAUUCCAUUAUGAUUUUCCCCUACCCAUAAUAGCAUAUCAUCAAAUCAAGUUAAUUAACUGAUGAAUCUUUAAUGUAUAAAUUAAAUACUAAAAUAAUUAGCAUGGAUCACCCAAUUAAUUUACUAAACUUAAUAUUAUCCUUUUAUCUAUUCUUUUAAUUUAUAAUCAAAUUUAUUUUUUAUUUGAAACAUAUAGUAAUGUGCAUUUUGGUAGAAUGUUAUACAUAAUAUACAAAAUAAUAAAUUUUGAGUUAAUUAAGGAUAAUUUAAUAAUAUAUUAAACUGGAUUAUUUUAUAUUAAAUUAAUCAUAUAUAAUUUAAUUAUUUAUAAAGCAAUUAAUAAUGUGCAAUUUUAAUCAAUUAAAUCUUAAAUGUGUAAAGGGUGGUGAUAAAUGCAGGAUGUCUUUUAGUAAAUGUAGGACAUUUUAUUUAAAAAAUCAAAAGCUAAUAUAUAUCUCAUCUUAUUUUGUUAAAUCCCUUUCUUUUAUAAGUUUUUAACGACAUUAUUUUGGCAGAAUAUCACAUGAAGAGUUUUAGUAAACGUAGACACUUUAUUUAAAAAUUCGAAACCUAAUAUAUCUCAUCUUAUUCUUUCAAACUAUUUUUUAUAAGUAUCCAUCGACAUUAUUUUGGAAGAAUAUCAUACAAUUAAUCACCAUUAAUCACAAGAACGUGAAUUUAUUGGUUUUGGAGGAUGAUACGGCUGAAAGUGAGGUAAAAAAAUCAUUUCGGUGCGAAAAAAAAUUCUUGUUUUAUGUGCCACAGUUCUUUUUUUUUUUCUUUUCUGUUUUAUGUGCCAGAUUUUAUAAUAUAUAUUAAUUUUGUUGCUAAUUUGGACCAGGAUCAUCUCGAGACGUUUAAAAAUGUCGAUUAUAGAGAAUAUUUUCCAUAAGACAAAAUAUUUUGUAGUAUAAACGAUUUUAAAAAGUUUCUUUAGAUGUGUUUGAGAUUGAAAAUUGUAGAGAAUAAAUAUAGUUCUGUAGAUAGUUAAUGAUAAAUAUUCGAUGAGAAUUAAUUUUUAUAUUAAAAUGUCUGUAGCUACUAAAAUAGGAAUAAAAAAAUAUCCUACAUUUACUAAAAGUCGUCAUGUAUUCAUCAUUUCCGUGGUGUAAAUCAUUAACUAAAAUAUUGGUAAUCAUAUUAGAAAUCAUUUACUAACUAGUAUCAAAUAAAACUACCAACUAAUAAGUUUUACUAAAAAAAACAUAGAAAAAGCUUGUAACAAUCUGAUCACUGUGUAAGUAAGUGAGGUGCUGCAACAAAUUAACAAACCUUAAAAAUAAAACCAACAACAAGAAAAAAUUAUGUCGAAGACCUCUCUGAUUUAGCUGUGGCUCACAAAUUUGUGGUUGUCGUUUAAUAUUGUAAGUUGACAGAAAAAUUAUCUUUAAAACAAAAAUAAAAUAAAAUAGUGAAAAGGGUCAUCAUCUUCCUAUGAAGGGCUGUGUUGGGUUUUGCAGUAUUAUUAACCUCAAAAACAAUUGUCGCCUCAAAUGAGAUAAGGUUACUGCCACGCGUCACUCUCUAAUAGAUUCAAGCGAUAAGGAAGCAAUCCAUCUAUUAUGUGGUCAUAAAAUCGAAAUGUAGAGGCAGGUCAGAUCCAACGGCCCACAUGAAUUAAAAAAAAACAAGUUUAAAUUAGGAGCGUUGGAUGAAAUGUGGAAAGAAGAAACAGGGUAGGGGGUGGGUUUGGCAUUAUAAAGGGUGAGGUGCAACAAAUCAUUUCUCCAUCGACUGUUGUUUGUGUAUUCUAAAGCAAAGAAAAAGCAAACUAAAGAGAGGAGAAAUGGCAGCCUCAAUGGUAUCAACCACAGCCACCGCCGCCGUGAGCCGCGCCACCGCAGCUCAAGCGAGCAUGGUUGCUCCUUUCACCGGAUUGAAGUCCACCUCCGCAUUCCCCGCUACCCGCAAGACUGCUGACAUCACCACCAUUGCCACCAACGGUGGAAGAGUGUCCUGCAUGAAGGUACCACAUUUUAUUCAUUUCAAUUGAAUUAUUUAUAAUCUAUAGUUAACUAAUUAAUUAAAUGGAUAUAUGUUUGAAAUUGAAUGAUUAGGUGUGGCCAACAGUGAACAACAAGAAGUACGAGACACUGUCAUACCUACCUCCUCUAACCAGAGAGCAACUCAUCAAGGAAGUUGAUUACCUUCUCCGCAACAAGCUCAUUCCUUGCAUCGAGUUCGAGUUGGAGGUAUUAUUUCUCAAUCUAUAUAUAUAUAUAUAUAUAUAUAUAUAUAUAUAUAUAUAUAUAUAUAUAUAUAUAUAUGUUUUCUUAAUUUUAAAAUUAAAAAUGAAUAAAUAAAAAUGAAAAAUAUAAAAAAAAAUGUAUGUAUAUGCAGCACGGAUUUGUGUUCCGUCAGUACAACAGCUCCCCAGGAUACUACGACGGUCGAUACUGGACAAUGUGGAAGUUGCCUAUGUUCGGGUGCACAGACGCAGUACAGGUAGUGAACGAGCUUGACGAGGCAAUCAAAGCAUACCCAGAGGGCUUCAUUAGAAUCAUUGGAUUCAACAAUCUCAAGCAAGUCCAGGAUAUCAGUUUCAUUGCCUACAAGCCUGCUGGCUACUAAUAAUUUCUAUUGUGUUUUCCUUUAAUUAGGAUUCCUUUUUUUUUUUGUAUUAUUACUUUCAUUUCCUUUUUCCUGCUUUUCCUAAUCUCUCUAUCUCUUUCGGAUCGAAAAGAUAAAUGAGUGUACGAGGAUAAGUAUUUACUACUCAAUAAACUAUAAUGCAUUUUCUUCCUUUUUAAUAAUUACUAUACUGUCAUCUCUUGAUCGCCUAAGUUAAGCGGGUAAGCCUCGGGAAAAUAUCUUAUUUAAUUUAUUAUUUAUCAGUGAAUAAAUUAUUUGGUUAUAGAUUAUCUUAAUGUAGGAGAAUUCAUGUAAUGAUUAAUGAAUAACUGGAGCUCAAAUGUAAUAGUUGAGAAUAUGGACGCGAGUGCAAUAGUUAGUUGGUAAUAGAAAUUAAUUAAUUAUUUACCGUCAAAUUAAAUAUAAUUAUAUUAUUUUUAGAAUUUGAGUUUAAUUUACUUAUUAGAAGUGCGAUGCAUAUUUUCUCAUUUGGUAUUUAUCGUAGCCCAAUCAAUUAUGUAACUUAUUGAGAAAAUAAAAUUCAACUAAUGGAAUAUAGGAGAAAGAGACUUAUUUCAGAGAAGGAAAAAAUGGCCGUAGUGUCUUGUGGAAGAAAUAACUUAUUUUCUUAGUUAUUUCCUUGUAAAACUCUUUGAUCAGCCCUAUAUAUACAAAACUUGGUUGGAGAGAGAAAGUUGAGAUCCUAACUCGCCUAGCAAAAAUCUUUUACACAUGUUUUUUAAGAAGAUAAUUUUUCUCCUUUUAUUUUCGCUCCCUAUUUCUCAAUUAUAGAUUUAUAAUUCUUCAAGGACAAGUCCACCCUUGUAGAAGAACUGUUAAUCCGAGAUAGACAAUUGAAGAUUGAAGAUUUUGAUAGAAGAUGAAUAUUCUUGAAUGCUCUACAACAACCUUGAUGUUUUGACAAUUGCUACUUUAUCAACCGUUCAAUCGUCACAAAAUUUGAACUUGAGGUUCCUAACAUGUAGCAAUUCGAUCCGAACCAAACGGAUAGUCAAUCCAAUUUUGGGAUAUCAAGUUAUAGGCGUCUAAAGUGUGUUGUAUUGUUCUAGACGGGAGCAAUUUGUGAGAAGCUUUGUUCGUGUUUCCUGCAAUUACUGAAUUCAAGAUGGUAUUUUUGGGUCGUUUCCGAAUAUAUUUUUAAGUUCUAGAUUAGUUUUUAUUUCGCAUUUAUUAAUCUAUAAUUUAUUACGCAAAACAUGCUAGGGAAAAAUUUAUACCCGAAAAACAAAGGUUCGUCAUUCGAAUUAAUUAUCAAUGAUGCGCUCUUGGAAUUUAUAUAUAUAUAUAUAUAUAUAUAUAUAUAUAUAUGAGUCAGCGUUGCAUUGAUCGAUUAGUGCUUCUACCGAUCGGUGUGUGGUGUAAAAUAAGGGUUUCACAUGUAGUCGCACUAAUCGAUUGUCGAUCUCCUGCUUGGUAUAUUUUGACCACUUCCUGCUUUCUUCAAGUAUCGCUCCGUUGCCCAUAUCCUUCCUCAUUUAGCCCUCAACGCCGUUUUAGCCAUUGUAUUGCCACACAAAUAUUUAAUAUAUGCAAAAUGCAUCAAUCUAACUCCUAAAUACAAUAAUAGCUAACAUGCAGCUAAACGACAUAUAAAUGAUUGUACUAAUGCUCGAUUCUUACCUUAAAUAGAUGUGAAUAAGUAUACAUUUUACACAUUUAACCCUUUAGUAUUUGGUGGUCAUCAUGGCUUCAGUUUUCAGGAGACGGUUGUGGAUACAGUCUUAAAAUUCGGACGGGGUGUGUCCGGGGUGGGUUUACUUAUUUUUGUUUUUGGUCUUAUAGUUAGGAAAUUAGAGGAUUUUGUGUAUAUUGAAUUAUACAAUUUUUGGUGUUGGAACUUAAUAUAGUAGCUACCCAGAUGUUAAUACGAUCAAUUCCACAUUUUAGAGAUGUUGAUCCAUUUCGAGAAAUAUAUUUCACUAAAUAACUAAUCCCUCCACUAAACGCAUUGGGCUCACUUACUCAAUAUAGAAAUAUAUCUCUUUGUUAUGAGAUCAAAGUGGAUUAGACUAGUUACAUGUGUACCUUUUUAUAUUUAGGGAUUAAGAGAGUAAGUGUUUUGGUGAUAAUAAGAAAUAAUAUAGUUUUAUAUUAUCAGUAGUGAAAUAAUUAUUUCACUUUGUCUGGUCCAAUACAUGCCGAAUGUGCUAGCACAAUAAGUCAAAAUAAUAACUAUAAAAAAUAUUCUAUAUCUAUCGUAAUCAAGACAGAUCACUUAAAUAUAUUAUUAAAUACAUUGUGCUACAAUCUUUCUCGAUGGUUAGUUCAAUUCCAUUUAGAUUGUGAAUAAUUUAAUUUAUAUUAUAAAACGAACUUUCAAAAUGAUCUUAUGUGUUAUAUCAAAAUCAGCACACCAAUUCGAAUAUGAUUAGAAUAUUAGACUCGUGUAAUUGUUUAAAUAUUAGUUAAAUGCAUUGAAUGCCAUAAUGCAUAUUCUCAUAAAAUGAUAUUAUACUAUUUCAUUAAAUUAAUACUAAAAUUAUGUAGAUAAAUGUGAGAGACUUUUAGUCUACUGUCCCAACAAAUAUACACUCGAGUUAGGACUUUAUUUCGGCGGAGACACUUUUGACACACAACAACCAACCUUGAGAGCGGUUAUAAACCCUAAAAAUGAAAAGAGCGAGGAACACUCAUCUAGAGCUUAGUGUGAAACGAAUAGGAACAGGCAACACAGAAUUUAAUCGUUGGCGGAAUGAAGACAACAUGACAAGGAGAAUGUUCGCCUUCUGUUAUUCAUAGAGUUUAUAUUUCUCUUCUUUUAAUUUAUUGAUUAUUGCAUCCAACAAAUAUUGUUUAUUGAUUUUGAUGGAACUAUACGUAGGUAGAUUUCAUUAUAGGAUUUAAUCGAAUCCCGUAGUGGAUAUUUUGUACUAUGUUUUAUUUUUAUGCAUGUGAUUUAAUUUUCAGUUUAAUUCUCGUGCUUGGAAUGUUUGAAUGCGUGGACUUGAUAACAUCACUGUCGCCAUUAGACACCAGGCCAUUAUUGAGAAUAUAUCACGCUCUUAAUUAUGUAAAUCAUCCUUCUGAAUUAGUUUUUUCUUUUAUAAACAAUACCUUAGAUCACGGUUCAUACUGUAUAUUUUAUGUUGAUCGACCGUGAUUGUAAUUACUUGAUUGAUUCUCAUUGAAUCAAUCCUCCUAUAUAUAUAUAUAUAUAUACUCACAUAUACAUCAAUGAAAAGUGAAAACUCCUAACUUGGGAUAUCCUUUUAUGGUAUCACAACCAUUAGCCUCACGACAUCUCUGAUCCAUAAUUAUCAUUUGUUUUUCUCCAUUUCUUCACUUAUAAUGUCGGACGAUCCCUCGAUCUCUCCCAACCAAACCACCGCCACCACGACUGUGAUGCGAUCUCUUGAGUAUCAUAAGAUUUCUUUACUAAACGUAAGAAAACUCUUGUUUAUUAUUUCUCUGCAUUAUCAAAACCCUAGCACAAUACGGCUAUUUAAAGAGAAUCAAAACCCUAGAAUCCUAAUCUAACUAGGAAAGAUAAUUACCUAUACUAAUAAAAUACUUAAUAAUUCCCUAAUCACUACUACUCACGCCAUAUAUUAAUCUAAAUAUACUAAUCUAAUCUAAUUAUCAAUAAACUACUAAUUAAAAUAAUACUUAAAUAAUAUAUUAAAUAAUAAAAUACUAACUAACGAAUAAAUAUACGAUAUAUUAAAUAUAUAUCGUAUCAAACCACCCCUCUUGAAAUGAACCUUGUCCUCAAGGUUCGAGUCAAUUUGGUCCCUCUUUUUUGCGUUUCCACCUAUGUUUGACUUCAGCGACUUUCUUUCCGAGAAAGAUGUAUUCCUUUGUUUGACCAAUUUUCACAAGCACGUGACUAUCUUUCUUGAUUUUAUGAGUGAAGUCAUCUCUCUCGGUGGAAUCAUGAACUUGGUCUCCAAAGUGAUCCACUUUAGCCAAACAAAAACUAGAUAACUUGGAGUGGUAUUUUUCUUCACAAUAAACAACUAAUUCCACCGAAUUCUCAUUAUGCAAAAUUGGAUCUUCCUUAAAAUUAUGAAAUUCUUUCAAAAUUUCAUGCAAUUUUUUGUUCUCCUCCUUCGUUAAUUUCUUGUCUUCGUCCCACUUUAUCUCAGUUGACUCCGAUUCUUCUUCUUUCGGCUCUUCGUCCCACUUUAUCUCAGUGGAUUCCGAUAAUUCUUCUUUCGGCUCGUCGUCCCACUUUAUCUCAGUUGAAUCCGAUUCUUCUUCUUUCGGCGAACUCACAAACAAUUGGGGUUCUUCGAAAAAUUCAUCGUCGUCCUCUUCCUCUUCCUCCGGCGAUAGGCUCGGCAGCGGCAGCGGCGGUAGUGGUGUUGUUGGUCGGCGGUGGCGGUCUCUUCGGCUCUUAUGUUGGCGCCGUCCUUGACUUUGUUCGAGCAGUUUUUGGAGACCAAUCCGUAUCUCCUCCACGGAUUUUUCCAAUCGCUCUAAACGUUUUCUCUCGGACGACAUAAUUUCGCAAAGUGUUGAUGUAAUCUCAACUUUGCUCCAGCGUAGCUUUGAUAUAAUCUCUGCCUUGCUAACGAAGCGUUGGUGUUAAUCGCAACUUCGCUCUGAUACCAAUUGAUGCGAUCUCUUGAGUAUCAUAAGAUUUCUUUACUAAACGUAAGAAAACUCUUGUUUAUUAUUUCUCUGCAUUAUCAAAACCCUAGCACAAUACGGCUAUUUAAAGAGAAUCAAAACCCUAGAAUCCUAAUCUAACUAGGAAAGAUAAUUACCUAUACUAAUAAAAUACUUAAUAAUUCCCUAAUCACUACUACUCACGCCAUAUAUUAAUCUAAAUAUACUAAUCUAAUCUAAUUAUCAAUAAACUACUAAUUAAAAUAAUACUUAAAUAAUAUAUUAAAUAAUAAAAUACUAACUAACGAAUAAAUAUACGAUAUAUUAAAUAUAUAUGGUUAAUUAAAAUUUGUUUUGAAUAAAGAAAAGAAAAAUAAAAUUAAUUUAGCUAGAACCAAAAUCCCAUUUUCAUUCUACUACUUUUGCCCUCGAUUUUGUCUCAAAUUUCUUAGUAGCUCGAUUAAAAUUUGUAGAAAAGGUCUGCUCGAGAGUCAUUCAACAUCUACGGAGGACAUUGAAAUUUAGUGGCCGAAGACAAUAGAGAAUUGAAAAUUGUACAGUAAGCCCUCGUAUGAUAACUAGCAUUAUCAAAAAAGUUGUACAGUAAGCCUAACUCGUAUGAUAAUGAAGAACACCUGAAACAUUAUUGAACUAAUGUAUCUUUACCAAAAUCAAAUUUUUUUGACAGAAAGUAAAAUAAACUCAUGUGAGAUAUUGACAACUAUUUUGAAGAAAAUAAGAAACAACAGUUGUAACAAUAAAUUUAAAAUUAUGCAAUGAAUAAAAAACGAACUUCUUCAUGCAACCAUGAUGCAAAUAGAGUAUUCAUUUGAAUCAAAAUCCGUCAAAAUGUCAACUAAAUCUUGUACUGACGUAAAUAUUUUUAUUUUGUAGUAUUGCUCUUAAAGCCAUUACGAAGGGAUAUGAAUGUGACUAAUGCAGCAUCCCGGCGAUCGAUGAUAAAUGAAUAUUGUCAUUUUGACACGAUAAGUUCCUGACAACACAUACUGUUCAAAUCAAUCAAUAAAUAAAUAAAAUAAUGUUGAAAAAUCAAAAGUAAGCAUAUUUCUCUAGUACUUUGGUGAUUUGAAUGCAACUUCUCAUCUUGCCACAUUCUUAAACAAAGUUUUGCCAUCUUUGUGUGUGCGUUUUUUCCCCACACGUGGGGGAGAUGGAGAUGCCAGCGGUUUAUCUAGUUGGAUUGUGCAGAGUUAGUUUUUGCUGAGGAAAACAAGCCAAGAGGGGGAAAAUGAGGAAAAAAAAAAAAAAAAAAAAAAAGGAAAAAUAGUCAUAAAAAAAGCAUAGAAAGCUAAAAAUAAUCAUAAUUCGUAUAAAUGAAUGUGCUAAAAACACUAAUUAAGGAAUGCAAAACAACCCAAGGGAAAAUGGACCCUCAAAGUCAUCCACCACAUUGAAAUUGAAAUAAAUCGACCAGGAAAAAACUUAUAUAUCGUACAUUUCUUAAAUAAAACAGUAAACUAGCUCGAAAAUGUCGACAUGAGGGGGAUGAGAGAACGAAGAAUAAAAGGAGAAUAUAUUGGCGAUGGAUGGAGUAGUUUCUUCCAUCUAAAAUGAUCGUGAUGUUAUCGUGUGAACUAAGAAGUUGUGUAUUAGUUAAUAUACCAUAGUAAAAACUAAAAAGCCGCCCGGGAAAAGCAAAGAGCUACGAAAUUACUGAGAAACACCUAGGGCUACGAAAAUUGUUCAGAAAAGAAAAAUUAGAAAUAACCGACUUGAGUAGUGGGGUCAGAUAUGAGAAUAUUCUUGUAGUGGGAGGUAAUAUUAAAAAUAAAACUGAAAAUAUGAAAUGAAAAUAUUGCCCCUAGGGCUACAUCUAGGGUUAUAGGUCAAAAUAUCCUCCUUUUAUAAACAAACAUUGUCUUAUUAUCAUUUUAAUUUCUUUUAAGGGUAAAUUACAACCACCCCUGGAUGUGUGGUCAAAUUACGAAAAUCCCCUCCCCUUUGGGUAAUUACAACCUCCUCAAUUAUAAAUCUUCUUACACGUCCACCCUUGCGGUGUCAAAUUUAGUGGAAUCUUUUAGAUUAUACAAAAUAUUCUCAAUUUUGUACCCAUUUUAUUCCAUUCGAACUCCACAUUUUGAAGCAAGAUGAUCAUAAGAUGUGCUUUUUGGCUUGUAAAUAUUAGAUUAUGGUGCAUCACAGAUUGCAUUUUUGUACAAAUGAGUACAAACUAGAGAACAUUCCACGAAAUCUUGAAGAUUAUGUUGAACUUGACACCAUAAGGGUGGACGUGUAAGAACAUUUAUAGUUGAGGGGUAGUUGUAAUAAUCCAAACAUGAGAGGUUUUUCGUAAUUUAAUCAUUCCACGAAAUCUAGAAGACUAUGUUGAAUUUGACACCAAACAUGAGGGAUUUUUCAUUUUUGGACGUGUAAGAACAUUUAUAGUUGAGGGGUAGUUGUAAUAAUCCAAACAUGAGGGAUUUUUCAUAAUUUGACCAUAGUGAGAAGUUGUAAUUUACCCUUGUUUAUAAUUACUAUGGAGGGAUAAUUGUGUGCAAACUGCAAUGUUUUGACCAAAUACUUGUAUUUAAAUGAAUUAAAUUAUUGAGCAAGAUACUUGAUUAUAAUGAGUAAAAAUGCAUAAAAAAGUAUGAACGUAUAGAGACUAUAUAGAUCCCCUAAGUUGAAGGAAAAUGGACAGGCUAUUGACCUCUCAUAGAACCCCAACGGCAUACGGAAGAUCAGCCAUCCAUCCAUCAAAAUGUUAAAAAACACACACACACACACACACAUACUUCAACACUGGAUAUGGAUUCCAGAUUCGCUGGAAAAAGGAAAAAAAAGGAAAAUGUCAAAACAAAGCUUUUAUUUUUUAAUAUCCCCAUGUUGAAUACAAGAACGUGCGUAGGUUUACGCCUUUUCAAUUUCUUGCAACGUCACGUUGUGUUGUGUUGUGUUGACACUUUCCAAAUAAUUUAAUUCCUAAAAAUUAAAUUGAUUGACAAAGUCUUUGCGUUUCCUUCUCUGUUAAUCUACUGUUAACUUGUUUAUCUGGGUUGUCCUUCAUUUUUCGAAAUUGCAUGAAAUUGAAACUUCGCCUCUUUUUUUUGUUGAGUGUGAUUGUUGUGCAUGGGCGAUUCCGUUUUCCCCAAUUUAUUACAUUUGCUUUCAUUUUAUUUUGAGGUUGUCACAAUUUCUUGCAGGCUACACGGAAUUUUGUUAUGUUGAUUAAGCACUAAUUCUUUCUUUAACUGCAGAUUCCUUUUGCUGAACAACUGAACAAGGAUUGAUUUGUUUCUAUACACAUUUCAAUUCACUUAAUGAUUGAAUAUCAGGUUUGUGAAUAUUUCAUAUAAUUAUUUUUAUUUUAUUUUUUUGUGAUUUAUUUAUUUGUUGAUCUGGUUUUCUAGACAGGGGGAAAAAAAAAAGAAAAACAAAUUGAUAUUGUAAAACCGGGGGCAAGAAUUUCUAUUACGGAAUGGUGAAAUUUGUAUUUGGUCUGUGAAUUAGUUAUAUUUUAUUUAAUUUAUCCUACAAAUGGAACAGAACAUAAUUAGAGAAAAUUUCCCUAAUGUAGCUAAUUCAAAUGGCUUAACAUGGUUUUUUAAGGAUUUGAAAUAUGCUACAAGAGUAUCUGUUUUUUAUUCGGAUCGUACCACUUUCCGUCACAAUUAAUUAAUCUUUUUAGUUCAAAUCAGAGUAUCUGUUAUUCCUAAUAUGUCUCCGAUACGCAAUUCAGCAUAGAGAAUCGGGGAAGAUUGGGCCAUUUUUUAUUUCUUCCAUUGUUUUAAAAAUUGAGAUUGUUAUCGUACGGACAGGUUUUCUCCUUUUCCAAUCGAGCCCUGCCGUUGUAAUGUUAUAGUAACAUGUCAUCGAGUUGAAUAAAUGCUACCGUUGUCAUAUUUAUUUAUUAUAUAUUUGGAUGUUUAAACUGAUAUUAAUAAUAAUAAGAUGAACGCUGCAGCAUUUCAGUGUGGACUAUCAGAAUAUAGUGACGUCAUGGAUCCACAAGUAAAAGAUUAUUAUAGAUUUCGCAGCUCAAGUGUUUCGUCUACCAACAGUGAUGUGUUUGAACCCACUUCAAGUAACAAUGGUACAAAUAUUAUUUUACUCUUGCGAUCAUUUACCUAAUCUGAAUAUAUUCACUUCGAGUUUUUUGUUUUGUGUGUACAGCUAAGCAGCGAGCAUCUGCAGUAGAAUGGUUAAAUGGUAUUCUGCCUGAUUUAAGUUUGCCAAUAAAUGCUUCAGACGAAGAAUUACGAGCAUUCUUGGUUGAUGGAUCUGUUUUAUGUCGAUUACUAAACAAACUAAAACCUGCUUCCGUGCCUGAGGUACCUCCUAGUUUAUUAUUAUUAUUUUUAAUUAUUAUUAUUAUUAAUUUUAAUUAUUAUUUAUAAAUGUUAGUGUGGUGGUGGUUCUAUUCGUUCUUCACAAACGCGGCAAGAAAACGUACAGAGGUUUUUGUUAGCAAUGGAUGAAAUGGGGUUACCGAGGUUUCAGGCGGCAGAGUUGGAAAAGGUGAUUGAUUACACUUUAAUGGAAUGGAGAUGAUAAAUAUUUUUUUUUUCUCGUGGUGAAAUUAAUUAAUUGAUUGAUUUAGUCGCAAUUUUGUUGUAGGGAUCGAUGAAAAUAGUGUUGGACUGCCUAUUAACAUUACAGACGCAAUUUACACUGAAUGCCGAGAGACAUAAUAGUAAUGGAACUGAUUUGAGUUCAAGACGGUUUCUCUCUUCCCCACCUUUUGGAGAAGACAGACGAAAGUUUGCUCCAGAGUCUAAAUUUCAGCGUGCUUUACGUAGUCCUAUUAAGACAGGUCUUUUUUUUUUUUCUCUUGUCUCCAAAUCAGUGUGUAAGAAGUUAUAUAUAUAUAUAACUAAAUUGAUUGUUUAAAUUGGAAUGUUGUAGAGCCAUCAGCUGCGCUUAUAAAUCACGUUGGUCAUAAGUUUCAUGAAGUCUUUCAGUUUAAACAAGUAUCUUAUACGGAUGCAAAUAUUUCAGAAAUGAUGAAAUCCAACAGCUUUGAUGUAAGUGAUUUCCUAAAUUAUUUAAUUUUUUUUUCCCGCCAAGUGUUCCUAAAAUUGACUUUAAAAGUUUUGUAUGUAUAAAUAUGUAUAUGUGAUGCAGAAUUCUCCAACGCAGUCGCUAUUAAGUGUGAUCAAUGGUAUUUUAGAUGAAAGCAUUGAGCAGAAGAAUGGAGAAAUACCUCAUGUAUGUAUUAAGAGAUUAAAAAGAUUUUUUUUUUAUUAGAAUCCAAAAACUUUUAAAGGUCUAACAAACAGAUUAUUGGCUUUGUAAUUGUUCAGCGUGUAGCUUGCCUAUUGAGAAAAGUUGUGCAGGAGAUUGAACGUCGAAUAUGUACUCAAGCAGAGCAUCUUCGAACGGUAAUGUAUUUUAUCAUGUGGGGUCCGGUUGUUUAAUGAUUAUUAUAUUCAUUAGCCCGAAACAUGCGCUCAUUCUUCUUCUUCUUUUUUUUUUUUAAUUUAUCCUGCAGCAAAAUAAUAUUUUUAAAGCUCGGGAGGAGAAGUACCAAUCUAGAAUUAGAGUUCUUGAAGCCCUUGCAACAGGGACUAGUGACGAGACACAGGUAUAAUAGUAAGGCUUCGUAUUUCGCCAUAAUGUAUGUAUUCAAAUUUAUGUAAGUACAUGUUUAUAUAAAUUGCAUAACCAAUUCGCCAAAAUUGAUUUUUUUUGUUUUUUUGGCAGAUUGUUAUGAACCAGCUCCAACAGAUCAAGGUAAUUCAAUUUCUUCACUGUAUGACUGUUAUCUUCAAGUUCAUAUGAUUUAGCUGCUUAUAGACGACGAGCAUCAAAUUAAGGAAGGAAAAAAUUGUUGAAUGUAAUCAAGAUUCGUAAUUCGUGUGCAAAAACAUUACCUGUUAUUACAAUAAGAAUUGAAUACAAGCAUGUAAUUCUGGUGAUAGUGAAUUUUAUUUACAUGUAGUUUUGGGUUUUGCAUGCUUAAAUAUUGUAUUCAUCUGCUCCAAAAAAUGCAGAAUGAGAAAAACAAAAUAGAAGAGAAAAAGAAAGCGGAGGAACAAGAAAUGGCAAGACUGAUGAAAGAGAAAGACGACCUUAAUCAAGAGAUAUCAAAUCUUAAGCAACAGCUCCAAGAUAUAGCUAAGACAUCCCAAGCUGAAUCUCAAGCUCAAGCUCAAGCUCAAGCUCAAGCUCAACAACUACAGCUCAACGAUACAUCUAAAGAGUCUCAAAGUUUACUAACCGAGGAGUCAACAAAUAGAGUUAAGGAACUUGAGGAUAGGUUAAAACUAACUCUAAGCUUACAAACAGAGUCCACAAAUAAAGUGAAGGAGCUCGAAGAUAGGUUAAAAGAGUCUGUCAUCUUGCAAACCGAGUCGGCAAAUAAAGUUAAGGAGCUUGAAGACAGGUUGAAAGAGGCUGAAAUCUUGCAAGCAGAGUCAACAAAUAAAGUGAAGGAGCUUAAAGAGAGGUUAAAAGAGAGGGCAAGCUUAGAAACAGAGUCGACAAAUCAAGUGAGGGAGCUUGAAGAUAAGUUAAACGAGACUGCAAGUUUGCUAACACAGUCAAGAAAUAGAGUUAUGGAGGUUGAGGCAUCCCUUGAAUCCAAAUCUGAAUGGUGGAAGAAGAAAGAAAAUAUCUACCAUAUAUUCACCGAAUUUCAGCUCGGUGCACUACGUGUAAUGCUUCUCUCUCUCUCUACCAUCUUACCUUUAUGUAUCACUUUUUUCUUGGAUUAAGUAAUUUCAUUCUUAUUUUCAUGUAUUUCAUUUCAGGAACUAAAAUUUUCAUCUCAGUCGAUACACCAAGAAAUUUUGAAAACGAAGAAAAGCUAUUCAGAAGAAUUCACUACUUUAGGUAAUUCUAUUUUCUUUUUUUUAAUCGGAUGAAAUAUAUAUUUAUACAUUGCGACUCACACUAAUCGUCGUAACAGGGUCAAGGAUCAAGACUCUAGACGAUGCAGCAAAGAACUAUUAUUCAGUCCUUGCUGAAAAUCGAAAGCUGCACAAUGAACUACAAGAGCUAAAAGGUGACACAUUAUUGUUGACAUAGUUGAACAUAAAAAAGAACACACACGCACACACACUAAAUUGGUGUAUUUCCUCACGUGUUGAUUUGAAUAGGAAAUAUUAGGGUGUAUUGCCGGAUAAGGCCAUUUCUCCCGGGGCAGAAAGGGAAAAGUUCGAUUAUUGAGUACGUUGGAGACAAUGGUGAGCUAAUAGUUUCGAAUCCAUCAAAACAAGGCAAAGAAGGACGCCGCUCCUUCAAAUUCGAUAAAGUGUACAGCCCAGCAGCAACACAAGGUUUAUUUUAUUUUAUAUCUUCAUUAAUAAAAAGACGGUACUAAUUAGUUUAUCUCUAUGUAUGUUAUUUCUUAUUGACAUAAAUUUCGUAUUAUCUGCAGCUGAAGUAUUUUCAGACACACAACCGUUAGUACAAUCUGUUUUGGAUGGAUACAACGUAUGUAUAUUUGCGUAUGGUCAGACUGGUUCAGGGAAGACCUACACCAUGGUAUGAAACUAACUAUAAAUAGGUUUAUAAUUUCAACUUAUAAUUAUUUAUUUUUUGUUAAGUGAAUGAAUUCUUUGUCUCUCCAGACUGGACCUGAUGGAGCAACGGAAGAAGAAUGGGGGGUUAAUUAUCGGGCUUUAAACAAUCUUUUCCGUAUUUCACAGAGUAGGGAGAGCAACUUUACAUAUGAAAUUUCCGUCCAGAUAGUGGAAAUAUAUAACGAACAAGUCCGUGAUUUGCUCGUAAAAAACGACGGUUCAGCAAAAAGAUAUCCUCUAUUUAAAAUUAUUAUGUUUCCAAUCUCAUAUUUUUUGACACUAAAUUUUGAUCCAUUAUUGGUUAUUACAUACAUGUUGCAUCAAAAAUACUUGUUAUCCUUGACUUGCACACACUCGGGAUUUUGUCAACGUCGCAACCCAAUGGUUUGGCAGUGCCAGAUGCUAGCAUUCAUGUGGUAAAAUCAACCUCAGCUGUUUUGGAACUUAUGGAUAUUGGACUGAAUAAUAGAGCCAAAAGUUCGACUGCCAUGAAUGAAAGAAGUAGUAGAUCACACAGGUAUUUCUAUAAUUAUUGUUUUUCAAGAUUCUUGUAUUAUUAUGCAAUCGAUGCAUAUAUAUAUAUAUAUAUAUAUAUAUAUAUAUAUAUAUAUAUAUAUAUAUAUAUAUAUAUAUAUAUAUAUAUAUAUAUAUAUAUAUAUAUAUAUAUAUAUAUAUAUAUAUAUAUAUAUAUAUAUAUAUAUAUAUAUAUAUAUAUAUAUAUAUAUAUAUAUAUAUAUAUAUAUAUAUAUAUAAUUAGUGGGGUAUGAAUAAAUACAGUAUUGUGUCAAUUCAUGCGCGGGGGCUGGAUCUAAAGAGUGGUUCUUCUCUACGAGGCAGUCUUCAUUUAGUAGAUCUUGCUGGAAGUGAAAGAAUUGACCGCUCGGAAGUAACUGGAGACAGACUUAAAGAGGCACAGCAUAUAAACAAAUCAUUAUCCGCACUUGGUGAUGUCAUCUUUGCUUUGGCACAAAAGAAUUCUCACGUUCCUUAUCGCAACAGCAAGCUCACUCAAGUCCUACAGGGCUCCUUAGGUAUGUAUAAUAGCUUUUUUUUUUUUUAAUAAUUCUUCUGAUAUAAGUUAGUUAAUUGAAUAUCGAAUAUUGGUAUUGCAAUGAGUAAUUGAAAAAAAGUGGUUAAUGAUCAGGUGGUCAGGCAAAGACACUUAUGUUUGUGCAGCUGAAUCCAGAUGCAACUUCGUUUAGUGAAACCUUAAGUACAUUGAAGUUUGCUGAAAGGGUAUCUGGUGUUGAGCUCGGCGCAGCUAAAAGCUCCAAAGAUGGCAAAGAUGUUCGUGAGUUGAUGGAACAGGUAACACAACAUUAUUACGAUUAUUAUUUUUCUGCUAUCUAACUUGCGAAUAAUAAUUUAACCAAAUUUAUGUUUCAUUUGACAUGUCCCUGAACUUUGUUAAGUGUAUCCAUUUAUUUGCUCACAAGUCUCUAUAUUAUCAUAAUUAUUUAUUAUACAAUAGACAAUAUAUAUGAUAUGAUACAUUUUUUGGGUAAUAAAUAGGUUUCAUCUCUAAGAGACACCAUAGCAAAGAAAGAUGAGGAGAUAGAGACACUGCAGCUUCUUAAAGAUCCCAAAAAUGGAACCAAUGCUGAGAAACGGGCUACCACCUCAUUGAGGUACGUAUCAUCUUCUACGGGUACUUGUUAACAAUUUCACAAAAAUAUAUAAUCACGAUUCUCAACAUCAGAAAAUAUCCAUAUUAAUUAUUUUUUUUUUGCGGUUGAAGCUGAGAUCUUAUGACUUAGGUGGUUGUGCAGAUAGAUAGUGCUGAGAAAUUUAGUGAUUUAUCUGAUAGUGUACUUUUAUCUUUGCAAAACAGAAACUGAUGGAGAGGCUCUUCCCUGAUUAAGAAAGACAAAUUGGGAACGUACACAAGUAAGCACAUUCGCCUUAUUUGCCCGCGCCUCAAAAAAUGCCUACUUGAUACAAACCACUUUUCUUUUCUUAUCUUACUAAAUCUUCACCGAGUACCAACUACUAAUAGUGUAUUUCUCUUGGUUUUCCACAGGCGUAGAGUUCCACGACCCUCAACUGGUAUGACCACACACAUAUUUAUAUAUAUAUAAUAACGAUACACAAUUGGUAAAUUAUGACGUUGAUGAGCAAUUCGGUUGUAUUCAGCUUUAGCUACUCGUGAUCUUGUUUCAGGUUUGAGAAAAUAUGCCAACCAAGGUGGCAAUAGUUGAGCAUAUAUAGUUUCAGUUAUUUCUUGAUUUUAUUCAUUCUUUAAUUUGCACUGUGAUUUUGAUCCAUCCAUUAUAUUUCCACUUUUCCCUCUUUUUUUCAUGUUCAUAAUCAUUGUAUAUAGGUUUCGUUUAACCCCCAUAGUAAGAACCACAACUACUUGUAACCUUUGGUUGUGUUGUGGUGUGGUGUUCCUUUGCAUUUACUGCAAUCCUGGAUGGAAGCUUGUAACUUCAUAACAAGGCCAAACUUGAGAAUGUUAUUUUCGAAACAAAUUACUGCACAACGCAAUUCUUUUAAUUACAUAUCAAUCCUCAAUCGUCCACUGGUCAGCAAAAAUUCUUAUUGAGGAGAUUCGCUAGUUUUUGUUCUUAUGGUCCGAAUGGAGCUUCAAAUUUUGUCCAAGAAAUACCAACUUCGCUGCUCAUCACCUUGCCAGUUGGGGCAAUUUUUUUCCAAAUGUAAAUUUAAUUCGUUCUUCUUGCUUUUGUGACGGGAAUUCCCGAUUUUAGAUUUUUUUUUUAUUACGUUUUCUUAAUACAAUUUUUACUUACAAAAAAAAAAGACAAGAAAUUAGAAAAAAAUUCAAAUAUGAUUUUGAACCAAUCAGCAUAAGGUGGUGGCUGGUCUAUUCUUGUGUUCUUUUUCAAUUAAUAAUUUGUGGCUCAUUUGUAAGAUAUAUUUCCAUUGGCUGGUCAUUUAAUGGAUACUAAAGUUUUGAAUAAACACUUGGUGGGGUAUGCUAAAAUUACAGGACCAAAUUAAUCCAAUAUGUAAACUGUUUAAGAAAUAUGGACCACUAUAAGUCAUAAAUUAAUUCUCAAAAGGAAAAAUAUUUUAAAAUAUUCGAAGAGCACCCACUAUUGACUAACUAUUUACCAACUAUUUACCAACUAUUUACUACUUUCUUACUAUUAUCUAACAUCUUAUUGCAUAUUCUAUAGCUUAAAAACAUGGGUAAAACCUUGUAAUGGAUCAUGUAUGUUUUCAUAUCAGUUAAUCUUUAACUUAUCAAUUUAUAACAAUAUUUACUUGAUCCAAAAACCAUGUUUGUGGCAGAUUGGUUGUAAUGAUCCACGUAGUCAUUUAGUUUAUUGUAAAAAAAAAAAGAUUAAUCUUGGUGAGUUAAGUAAUUAUUCAAACAUGGCAUGAAUGUUUUCCUUCCUACAACUCAAUGAUGUUAACUUCUUCUAAAGUUUGACAAUUUCUAUAUACAACAAUGGGGCUCUUCGACGUAACCCAUCAAAUAUUUUAUUAAUAGGAAAAUGCACAAAUAAUAAAUCACUCUUUGAGAUGAACUCAUACUCUUUUCAAGAAGAGAGGAGUGAGAGGUCGAGGUGGGAGAUGGAUCGGAAACAGAUAGGGACCAUGAAGUGGUUAUGGAGGGUGAUGGCGAAGCGGGUGGCACGCUUCAGGGCGUACCACUUGCUGCAGAGGAGGGCGGCGGGGUUGUGGCCGCGGACGUCCAGAACAUUGGCGAUUUAGUUUUUGUCGAGAAAUUUAGAUUAAACUGGACGCUGAUUGACUAUGUUGUUUGCAUAGUCUAUUAAUAAAUCAACUAUGUUUUUUUUAUAGUUAAUUUAUUAGAUCUAAUAUACGUUUUAAUAUUUUAAUCAACUACAAUCGAUUAAUAAAUCAAUAGUAGAUUAGCGUUCAGUUUAAUCCAAAUUUUACAAAAGAACAUAAGGUAAAUUAGAAAAUUGCGAAAAAGAAAUAUGAGAGAGUUUUUCCAAAUUAUUUUUUUAAUAGGGUUCUACCUCAUAUGAUUUUUUGAAAUGAAGGGGUUAUGCUAAUUUUUCCUUUUAAAGUAAUCAUAUCUAAGAUAUAUAUAUAUUAGAGAUAAAAUCAUACUUGCAAAAUUAAUGGCAUUGGAUGGGAUUAAUUAUUAAGAGAUGUGCUAUUUUCACCUUCAAAAUAUUUUAUCACACCACUAAAUUAGAUAUAUUUCCCAUUUUACCUCUUUCUUCUUCUCUCACACCAAUAUUUUUUACGAAAGUAUAAACCAUCUACCACUAAAAUAAUUAAAAUAUUUAUAUAAAAAAACCCCACAAUUUUCACUGAAAAUCUCACCCUCUCCACCUUAAAUGAAUAAUACUUUCGUAAAAGAAAAACAUUUUUGAAGGUCAAAAAGAGCAGGAAUUCACAUUUUUUGAUAAAUAAAUUAAGAUUGUUUGUAUGAAAGAUCUUGAACUUCCUCCAGAAUUGGCAUGUUUGGCUUAAUAUAAUUUUGUUUCCUAAUUUUUUUUUACAUAAUCUUGUAAUAAAUAUUUCUAUUGCAAAAAAAAAAAAAAAAAAAAAAUAGAAAUAACUAAUAACACAUGAAGAUUAAGUGAAUAUAAAGAAGGGUGGUAGAUUAUAAAUUUGAGAGGAAUUUAUGAUAUUUUAUAAUCUUUGGUGGUGAAUUGAGAUACUUUGGAUGUGAAAAAUAAGACCACUCAUUAUUUAUUUUAUGGAUUAUUUUAGAGACUCCCCUCAUAUGAAAAAUAUAUAUAACUAACCACCAAACUAAUUACAUCCUUGAUUCCUUGUGCAUACCCCUCCAUUUUGAAAUUAAUAUGACAGACCCCCAUUGCUCACCCUGAAGUACUAAUGUGCCCUUUUAAAAUCUGUUUUAAAGCCUAGCCACUCACAGUCGUCUAUCUCUUCCUCUCUCAAAUCUCAGAUUCAAAUCCCGCCUCUCUCCAACUGGCGAAGUUGCUUCUCGGAGUCAUAACUCUCUCUCACAUGGUCGGAAUUCGAUGGUUUAACUACCGUUGGAUUCCUCUCGUCGAGCACUUUCUUUUGGGGGUGAUUUCAUUCAGUUUGGAGCGCUGGAUCUGUUUCUGCAAUUUUUUUUUCAGUCGACGCAUAUUUCGACGACGGUAGGUCUUGCCGGAGGUGUAUUUUGUAUUCCGCUAGUCGGAAUUUGACGGGCUACCCACCGUUGGAUUCCUUUCACCGAGAUCUAUAUUUUGAUGGUAAUCUCAUUCAUUUUUAUAUUGUCAGAUUUAUUUCUAUAAUCUUUUUCAUUUGUGAGCGCGGAACCUUGGGUGGUUAGCGGCGGCUAGGGUUUUGGUAGGAGGCGAUUGGGGUGAGAAGUCAUUGGCGGUUUGGUUUAGAAUUCGUAGCUAUGGUCUCUCUCUCUCUCUCUCUCUCUCUCUCUCUCUCUCUCUCUCUCUCUCUCUCUCUCUCUCUCUCUCUCUCUCUCUCUCUCUCUCUCUGUGUGUUUAUUUUAGAGUGUUUUGAUGGUUCUUCAAUUUUUGUUAUUUGCACUAAAAUAAUUUUUUUUUUUUUGAUUUUACAAUUGCAUCUUAAUGAAAACCAUUCAUCCUCUACUUGAAGGUGUCAAAAUUUUUGUUGAAGUUAUAUCUGCUUCAAGUUACAAUAUUCAACAGAUUGUGUACAUUACCAUACAAUAAUAGUUACAUAUAGUAAAAUGUAGUUACAUAUGCAUAUAUUUGUCUAUUUUCGAUUUGUAUUUUAUUGGUUCUAAGGUGAUUUGUAAUAUAAAUAUUGAUAUUUGUAAUGGGGUUUAUGAAUUUCUUUUGUAUAAGCCAGUAUUCGUGUGUAUACAUAAUGAUCGAAUAAAAAUAUCGGGUUAAAAAAAAGAACAUAACUACGAAUUACUAUUGUUUAGUACAAUUACAUGUAGUUAUUUUCAGUACAAUAAACAUAUAUUUCAUAAAAAAAAUUAAUUCAGUUUUUUUUUAAAAAAAGUUAAAUAAAAAAAAUUAAAAAAAAAAUAAUAAAAAUAUAUAUAAAUUAAACAAACAGGUUUAUAUAAAAAAAUGAAAAAUAAUAAUAAUUAAAUCAGUGAAAAUGCUAAAUGUAUGACCAGAAAUGCUGAAUGCAGUUUUGGCAAAAAAUUGCAUAUAAUACUUUCUCCAUUGAAUAUGUCAAAGGAUAAUUUUAACUUGAAUUUAUCCCUAAUUUAUUUGGUAGCUAAGAAUGUGUAAAAUAACCCCUUAAUUUUAUUGAAUACUAUUUACAUACAAGGCUUAAUAGUGACAACUAAACGAGUUCUAAAUUUGAUGAGUACAUUUGAAACUAAUUUAUUUUAUAUAAUUGUUCCAAUCUGAUGUAAUUAUUUAUUCCUCCAAAAUUUAAUUAAUUAAAAAAAAAAUUCCACUUUUUUCCUUGUACUUUGGCUCGAUGUCACUUUAUCCUCUUCUAUUUUUGAUUGCAUCGAUUUGUCCCCCUGUACUUAAAAAUUAUUUCAAUGUGACCCUCGUUGUUAGUUGUCAGACAUUUGACCUUAGCACAGUUUGGUCUAAGCUCUGAAAUUAUAAAAAGACCACCCCUCCCAAUUUAAAUAAUUAUUAAAAAACGAAAAAGAAAAAAAAAACAAAAAAAGUAAUAAUAAAAAAUUCAAGACAACGAGAAAGCAUAGUCCAUGACGAUAUCCACAAUUUAUUUUUAAUUUACUUUUUUUAAUUUUUUAAACUAGGAGGAGUGAUUUUUUUGUAAUUUUUAGACUUAGAUCAAACGGUGUUAAUGUUAAAUGUCUAAAAACUAACGGCGAUAGCCACAUUGAAACAAUAUUUCAAGUACAUGGAGGGCAAAAAUCGAUUCAAUUAAAAGUAGAAGGAGUAAAGUGAUAUCGAGCCAAAGUACAAGGAUGAAAAGUUAAAUUUACCAAAAAAAAAGUAAUAAAAGAUAUAUAUUCAGAAUAUUAAGAGUGUAAUAAAAUAAAAUAAACAAGUAGAAGUAUCUCGAAGACCUCUGAUCCAAUUGUGGCUCACAAAUUUCAAAUUUGAGGUUGUCGUUUAGUAAUGUAAGUUGACAGAAAAAAUAUCUAAAAUAAAAUAGAAAUAAAAAUAGUCAUCAUCUUCCUAUGAAGAAAGGAAGGGCUGUGUUGGAUUUUGCAGUAUUAACCUCAAAAACAAUUGUCGCCUCAAAUGAGAUAAGGUUACUGCCACGCGUCACUCCCUCAUAGAUUCAAGCGAUAAGGAAGCAAUCCAUCUAUUAUGUGGUCAUAAAAUCGAAAUGUAGAGGCAGGUCAGAUCCAACGGCCCACAUGAAUUAAAAAUAAACAAGUUUCAAUAAGGAGCGUUGGAUGAAAUGUUGAAAGAAGAAACAGGGUAGGGGGUGGGUUUGGCAUUAUAAAGGGAGAGGUGCAACAAGGCAUUUCUCCAUCGACUGUUGUUUGUGUCUUCUAAAGCAAAGAAAAGCAAAUUAAAGAGAGGAGAAAUGGCAGCCUCAAUGGUAUCAACCACAGCCACCGCCGCCGUGAGCCGCGCCACCGCAGCUCAAGCGAGCAUGGUUGCUCCUUUCACCGGAUUGAAGUCCACCUCCGCAUUCCCCGCUACCCGCAAGACUGCUGACAUCACCACCAUUGCCACCAACGGUGGAAGAGUCUCCUGCAUGAAGGUACCACAUUUUAUUCAUUUCAUUAAUUUGAAUUCAAUUAUUAAUAAUGUAUAGUUAACUAAUUAAUUAAAUGGAUAUAUAAAUGUUUGAAAUUGAAUGAUUAGGUGUGGCCAACAGUGAACAACAAGAAGUACGAGACACUGUCAUACCUACCUCCUCUAACCAGAGAGCAACUCAUCAAGGAAGUUGAUUACCUUCUCCGCAACAAGCUCAUUCCUUGCAUUGAGUUCGAGUUGGAGGUAUUAUUUCUCGAUCUAUAUAUAUAUUUUCUUUAUUUUAAAAUUAAAAAUGAAUAAAUAAAAAUGAAAAAUAUAAAAAGUUGUAAAUAUAUGUGCAGCACGGAUUUGUGUACCGUCAGCACAACAGCUCCCCAGGAUACUAUGACGGACGAUACUGGACAAUGUGGAAGUUGCCUAUGUUCGGAUGCACAGACGCAGUACAGGUAGUGAACGAGCUUGACGAGGCAAUCAAAGCAUACCCAGAGGGCUUCAUUAGAAUCAUUGGAUUCAACAAUCUGAAGC